CAAUAAGCAGAAUUUAGAAGGGUAAAAUUGAGAGUUUUAAAUGGAAAAAUAUCAGAAUGUUCUAGUAUGGGACAGUUGUCCCCAUUCUUAGCAUGAAAAUGCUGAAAUUGGGUGGGAAAAAGGACGGACAACUAUUAAAAGAUGUUGUACUAUCUGACAUUUUAGGAAUUUAGGGCAGAAUAUGCCUUUUUAUUGCUGUUUUUAUACACUCUAUAAAAGAAAAAGAACUUUACUGAUUCUUGGACAGAUUUUGAUCAAUAUAUUCACUCUAAAGGGUCCUCUGAAUACAUAGAAAACUCAAGCAUCCUUCUUUUCUGGCAUUCAUAAUAGAAAACGCACAUAGAAUCCUUAAGAUACCUCAAAAAUGGAGUUUGAAUCUAGAGCUAUUUUUUGUUGUUAGUGUGUUUUGUUACUGCGGUUUUCUGGGUUGUUGAGCUCUAUUUCCUCAGGUUUUUAUGAAUUUUAUUUGGUCCGCAAUACUCUGAUUUCUGCUCUAGUUACUGGUGAAAACUAAGUUUCUAUUUUCUUUUCUCCAAAGUCAAAGGCAUAUUUCUUAAUAUCUGUUGUACCUGUGGCCAUUAAGGUAUUGAUUUCAUUCUCAUCAAAUGUAAUAGUUUUUAGAAUGCCAUAAAUAUCAUCAGAUUUGCAACUUUGGAUUGAUUACAUAUUUGUUAAAUGUUCUACCCAUUAAUCUGGUAAUCUAUGCGCUGUUUGAAUGUUUUCUACCAUGUCUACUGUCUAACAGAACAGAGUCUGAAAUUUCAACAUGUAACAGUAUUAUAACUAUGAGCUUGUUUGUUAAUGUUGUGUUAAUCAUGGAUUUUUGGUUGCAUUAGUUUGAGCACUUAAGGUGAAGUAACACUCAGAUUUCCAGUUUGAUUUAAAGUAUCAGAUGUGUUGAAUGUUUCAAAACUUUAUGGAGUAGGAAACAUUGCAUUAAAAUUAGUUCUUUCUUUUAGCCUUGGACUGUUAAAAUACAUUUGAAGUUCUAAAAAUUCCCUAAAUGUUUAAGAUUUAGAAGUUUUGGCAGCAUUCUCUUGUAUGUAAAGCCUUCCUCCUCUGGAAAUCACUUUGUCUUGGGUAUUGUUGGCAUUUGAUAAUGCAGGAGUUUGUGAGUGCUUGGCAUGAGGUCCAGAUUUACAAAUCUAGCCACUGGUUGGUUAGUCUUUUGUGAAUGAUAGGCAGCUUCAAAAACAUGUUGCUAAGUUGAUCACUAGGCGGAUUCAAAAUUAAUUUGAUUUCAGCCUAUACAGAUUACUUUUCUUAAUUUAGUUCAAGGUCUGUAAUUAUUUGUAGAAAUGCAAUGAAGCUAUUCAUUAUUGGUAGUGUAUAAUAUGUAUCCAUAUUUAGUUUAAAUUAUAGUUGUUUCAGCUUUUUUUUCUUUACAGCAGCCCAAAUGUUUCUUGAUUCAGAAUUUGAAACUGGGCCCAUUUCAUUUAAGCAUAUCUAGGACCAGUACAUAUUAACUUGAGAUUCUCCAGUUUAGGAUAUGUUGUGUGUUCCUGAAAUGUGACUUAAAUAACUAGUAUAGAGGUUUUGAAAAUCGCUAAUUUGUGCACAUCUAUAUUUGGCAAGGAUUUUGAGAUUCCAAUGUGGUGUUUGAACUCUUUCUAGCCUUUUAUACAAUACAAAUGAUUUUUAAGUUUAACAUUUUGUCAAAAGUAUGUUAAGUAAUUACUAGUUUCCUUUACACAAUGUUGGAUCCAAUCAAUCGUGGCAUGAUUUGUCAAAGUUUGUUCAUUAACUUGUAGUGAUAUCAUUGGAUCCAAGGGAAAACACAUUUAGAUCAUGUCCCCGCAUUAACAGAAUUCACACUUUACCCGACCCCAUUCUUUGACAUUCACUUGACUGCAAACCUUAGAAAAAAAUGAUCAUAUGAACACUCGUAGUUUGCUUUAGACACUUAAUUAAAUCAUCGCAACUACGGGUAUGGUUUUCGUGGCGUAGUUGUGAUAACUAAUUUCAAAUUAACUUUAAAUAUGAACAUUCGUAGUUCGCUUUAGUUGAGUAUAACCUUUUGAAAUAAAUUGAGGCGUGCCAUUCACAAAUGAAUCCCAUAAUCUAUGGCCCUCACAUUAAUAUUAAGAUUAGUGUGAAAAAUACUUGGAACAUUCAUAACUAGUAUAGAAAAUACUUUGAACAUUCGUAGUUUGCUUUAGGCACGUUUGUAAUAAAAUUAUCAUAGCUAUAGAUACGGUUCCCGUGACGUAAUUGUGAUACAUAAUUUUCAAAUUCGGGGGUACAUUUAUGUGACCUGGCCACAACUUCUAAUAACAUUAAUAAAUUAACCAUGUUGUAGAUCGUGGGCACGGUUCCCGUGACACGAUUCACAGUAUGUAUCAAAUAAACAAGUGUACGACAAUCAUAACUUGUUCAAGAAAUAAUUCCAUAAAUCCUAAAAAAUGGUUAAAAUAAUUAAAAGUGGUUAUAAAGUUAAAAAUGCACACUAGGUUCUAAACAUGUAGUAAAUAAGAUAAUUAGGCCAAUAUUAAUAGUUAAGUGACCGUGCUCGAACCAUGGAACCCGAGAAUGCCUAACACCUUCUCCCGGGUUAACAGAAUUCCUUACUUAGAAUUUCUGAUUUCGCAGACUUUUAAAUAAAGUCAAAAUUCUCCUCGAUUUGGGAUUUAAAAUAAACCAGUGACUUGGGACACCAAAUAAACUAUUCCAAGUGGCGACUCUGAAAUAAAUAAAAAAUAAUCCCAUUUCAAAUAAUGUCACUUUAAUUGGAAAAACUCCCUUAUAUCCCCUUUCGGUGGUAAAAAGAAGGUGUGACAGCUCUGGCGACUCUGCUGGCGAUAAGAACCCAAAAAUCUUUGGUUCAGGGUUCAUGAAUUCGAGCUUAGAANNNNNNNNNNNNNNNNNNNNNNNNNCGGCUGCGAAACCCUUCUCUUCUAAUCUUUUGGGAAGUGCACGCUGGCGUGACUGGUUCAGACAAGUUGCAAAGCCGGACUGAUCUUUUGGUUACCGGUACGCUGCACCCCCGGCACGAGUUGUCCGCUCGGGUAAGCUAGGUCUAGAACAAUACACCCAGGUUUUAAAUCCUAGAAUAAUAGAGCCUCAUGCCGUAUCCGUAGUAGGAACGCUUAUUUGCAUCAUGUGCAUUUGACUAUGGGGACUCAACACAGAGGUUGGGUCCGUCUAGGACAGGUGUACCCAAAAAUCAAAAGACCAUCCUGAUGCAUUUUUACGUGCUACUUGUAUAAUUAUUUGCUUCGGUUUGCAUGUUGAUCGGUUUCUAGAAUAGGGAGAAAAAUUAUAAAAAACAAAUUGAGGUAUGAGAGAGAUAACUACCUGUCCUUGAAAAAUCUGGUGCCUAAAAUACACCGAAACUCUGCCGAAAUUUUGAAAAAAAAAAGAGAAAAAAGGGAAAAUUGUUUCAAAAUGCUUCAUGUUUUCUGUUGCGUCAAAACUGACCGAACUACGCGGGUUUGAUUCUCACCAGGUAUGGGAUACGUAGGCAACCCUCAUUGGUCUAAAUAGCCGAAUGUCCCGACGGGACGCCGGAAGGCCGUUUUUGCAAGAAUAGACACCGACGGUUUCUUUGCCAAUUUUGGCCACCUAGCAAGCACAGCCCUAAAAUAUUCCCUUUUGAAGUGCUGAAGGGUCGUAUUUGCAAAAGUAGCUGUGUUUAUUUGCAUUUUGCAAAAUGACCCCUUUUUAUCAGUUUUAAUAAAAUUCACUGUGUUUUAAACCAAUCACCUUAAUCUAAAUGUGAAGAAUGAGCACGAGUCAAAAUUUAUCAAUGAAGGUUAUGACCAAGAUUCUCUUGGAACUACACAUGUGGUGGGAAGAUUUGGGUAAGCCGGGGCGACACAGUUCAACCACUACCUGGGGAAGCUCACCGGAUUACUAAAGAUCAGGCCUAGGAGAGACAUAAUAAAAGCACUGGUGACAUUUUGGGACCCAGCUCACAACGUUCUGCAUUUCUCGUACUUCGAACUCACACCUACUUUGGAGGAGAUAACGGUUAUGCUGGGAGUACCAAGGGUCUAAGACAUAAAUACUUGGUUGCUCCAAGGGUCGUCACCCCUUACAAGUUUCUGGAUUUGCUAAAAAUAAGCAGGCAGGUCCAGUAUACAGAUUUGGCGGGUGGGUUUUCCUCUCUACACUUCAUAUAACAGCGAUACGGGCAUGUAAGAGGAUUUGACAACCCGGAAAGUGGAAUCUGUAGCAAAGGGAAUUGAUCAAAGUGAGAAGAGCAUAGAUGCUUCGCUUUCAUGGUGGCAUUCUUAGGUCUUCUAGUGUUUCCCAGGAAGGACGGGAAUAUUGAUCUACGGGUAGCUGGAGUCAUCAAAGUUUUGAUUACCAAUGCUAAGAGCACCCUCGUUCCUAUGAUAGUAUAUGAGAUAUUCCGAGCUCUCACGGCAUGCAAAGCCGGAGCAGAUUCUUUCGAAGGGUGAAAUUUGUUACUACAAAUGUGGAUAAUUGAGCACCUGUGUUAUUUUCCUCGAUAUAUGAAGUACGGAUCUAUAGGGAAAAGCUGCAUUGAAGAUUUUGGCAUAAGGGUCUCAGGGUUCAAAAUGCCAGAAGGGGUCGGGGAUUGGAUAUCUUGCCUUCGUUCCAUAGCUGCAGGGCAGAUAGAGUGGACACUAAGUUUGCUUCCUGUUGAAUAAAUUGUGUACAUGCCUGCCACCGGUCCUUACUUCCUCCUAAUGGGCCUUCAGGGCAUCCAGCCUUAUGCCCCAGACUGGGUGUUGAGAUAAUUGGGAAGAUCCCAGAUAGUUCCCUAGGAUGAAAAUCUUAGUGUUCAUGCAGUUGAAAUCCGUAUGGAUGGCCAAUUUCAUGAAGAAGUGGUUCGCCACAUUUGGAACAAGUGCCAAUAUUUGACAGCGAACACCCGAGUACAUGAAUUGUCCAGGGGCGAGGUCUUGCCUGGUUAUCUUGCUUGGUAUAGAAAGAAAAUCACUGCAAGGGAUGAACCUGAAAGGCUAACCAAAAGGCCUCCCAUCCAAGAAUUUGUUGAAGCGUCGCAGGAACAAUGGGCUUGGUUGACCAAGAAAAAUGAAUACAUGGCCACCAUAAGCAAGUUGGAAAAGCAAGUCAGAGAUCUUAAAUUUGAUAGUGGCUUGCAAGCCGUUGCAGAUGAGGGUGAAAAGAAAAGAUUGGUGCAAGAAAAUGAAGCCCUCCAAGCCCAAAUCCAGAAAGUGAAGGUAGCUGCUGAAAACCCGAGAAGGAGCCAAACAAAUGUAAGACUUAUAAACGGUCUUAGGCGGAAAGUAUGUGAGUAUGGGGCUGAUUUGGAAAAGUUCGAAGGUAGUCUGGCAAGAUCCCAGGCAAAGUUGGCGAAGAACGCUGAAGGACGGGCAGAGUUUGUUCAGCAAUUAAAAGAAAAAUAUGAUAGAGAGGUCGCAAAUCUAAAGAAAAAGCUAGCUACCCUCGAGAGUGAAAUGGCUAAACAGACAAAGAACUUUAAGGCAGAGAUGGAAUAUUGUUAUGCAUUGAUGUCUCGACUGGAAGAGGACCUACAACUAUUGCAGGAGCAAAGCCAUCAUGACACCCAAGUUCCGAAAGCUAGAUCUCGACAAAUUGGGCGCCUGCUCCAAGAUAAAGGCAUCAUUAGAGAGAAGAUUAGAGGAAUUGCUGACUAUAUCGUCAUGAAAUGCCACGAGUAUGAGGAUAUAACUAGAUACACUUUCUUCGCCGUAAUGAUGACUUUUGUUCGGCAGAUAAUGGAUGACCUGGAUCGCCUCCAAGGAGAUCUUGCACGUAGGCCCGCAUCGAGACCGACUGAUGUCCUGCGGGCCCCUAGAGUAGUUUUGGAGGCACUUAUGUAUUCUUGAUUUUUCUUUUCGAGUCUGUAUUUCAACUUUUUUAGAAUCUUUUAGUCUACUUUGAGUAUGUUUUUAUUUUUUUCAGUCCUUAAGUCAAUAUGAUGGAGUCGUUGUAAUAGAGAAAAUUAGAAGUUUUUAGUUUAAUGAAAAAAUUGAAAAAAACCCAAAAAUUGUUUCUUUCUUUCAUUUUGCAUUUAUCCCAUGAACUACAUAAUGAUCUGAUUCACGCGGCGUUGUGAUACGUAGACAAUCCCCAUCAGAUCCGGUCAUAGCUAUAGAUAACUCGAAUAAGAGAGAAAAUGAUGAAAAGAGGACACAAGAAAAGAGAGAAAACAAGAAUAAGAGAGAAAACAAGAAUAAGAGAGAAAACAAUGCAAAAGAGAGAGUGCAAAGAAAGGAGAGCAAAUAAUGAAAAGCCCAAAAGAAAAGAAAAGAUUCAAGGAUCUGGGAGGUCACAAAAGCUGGGAUAAGACAUGCAACUAUUGCAAAAUAUAUAGAAAAACAUUUAACUGUCUAGGUGCAUUGCAUUCCCCAACGUGUGAUUCCCUAUGUGUUAAUUGUCUCAAACUAACUGGUUUGUUGUGUAUGCUGUUGAGAAUAGAUUUUGUUUUUAGGUGGUUGGUUUUGUGGUAAUCUGGCUUCGCACCCUUACUUUACAAGGUCCAAAGGAAGUGUCGAAAUGAUGUCAGAGAGUCAGCUACCAACAAUUACCCCCUCAGAGGAUAGCCCGUUGUCGGUUAUCCCGACGUCAGAGUCAACAACUGCUGAAGAAAAUAGGACACUACGCCUCUGCAUGUUGGAAAUGUGGGACUCUUGGUCUAACGGUAGAGAUCUGCCUAGAGCAAUACCUAGUUUUCAUGAGCUGAUUCCCAGAACAAGUGGAACCUCCAACAUCCAUGUAAACUACCCGACCACCCCAUUCGGAUACCCCACGAUGUCAGCCCAUUUAGCCAGAACGCCUUCUGAGGUUCGCCCCCGGGCAUCGAUUUCUAGAGUAUAAUCUAACAUAUUCACCGCACCACCAACCUUGACUACGGCACAACCAACAUUGCCCAAGCUAAGUUUUGAGCCCUCAUCCUAUACUUCCCAAAUACCACCAUUUCAAUCGGACAUGGAUCAUGUCACCCCAAACUCUUACCCUCAACCACCUUAGUAUGAGUUUACCAUGGGACAAGAGAGAACUGUAAAGAAUCCCGAGCAAGAAGAGAUCACUCGAAAAAUGAAAAGCAUAGAACAAAGUCUUAAGAGCAUACAAGGCUUGAGUGGCCAGAAGAGUGUCUCCUAUGCUGACUUGUGCAUGUUCCCUCAUGUUCACCGGCCACUCGGUUUCAAGACUCCCAAAUUUGAAAAGUAUGACGGAUAUGGAGACCCCAUAGAGCACAUGAAAAGAUAUUGCAAUUAGUUAAGAGGAGCGGGCAUAAAAGAAGAACUCUUGAUGGAUUACUUUGGGGAGAGUUUAGCCGGAAUUGCAUCUGAAUGGUAUAUGGACCAAGACAUCUCCCGCUGGCACAUAUGGGAUGACUUGGCUCGAGACUUUGUCAGAUAGUUCCAGUACAACAUGGACAUAGCUCUAGAUCAAAACAUUUUGUCCAAUUUCAAAAAGAAGUCUUCAGAUAGGUUCCAGGAGUAUGCCAUCAAGUGGCGUGAACAAGCCGCCAAGGUGAAACCCCCAAUGGAUGAGACCGAGAUGGUCAGUGUCUUCUUGCAAGCCCAAGAGACUGACUACUUCUAGAACAUGAUGUCCGCUAUGGGCAAGCCAUUUGCAGAAGCCAUAAAGAUUGGGGAAAUGGUGGAGAAUGGUUUGAAAACGGGUUACAUUCUGAGCCAAUAGGCUAUAAGAGCCACCUCUCAGGCAAUCCAGAGCGGGUCGAGGGCUGCAGCAAACCAAAAACAGAAAAAAAGUGGCAAUGAUGUCCUGAAGUCUGAGAAACCCCCAUCAACCCCGAGGUUACUUUGGUUCCUCUUCCAUCACCUUGCAAUAUUACUACCCUUACCAAGAUGUGGCAUACGCCAUGACUCCCCAGCCUUAUGCAGUGAUGAACGCCUAGCCAUACGCUCAGCCGCAACAACAGUAUAACCAGAACCGAGCUCCACCUCCCAGAAAUAACCCUCCUCACCAAGCUCCAUAUAAUCCCCGUCCACCACAGAAUAAUUUUCCUUAUAACGCCAGUGCAUAUGGACCACCAGAAAAACCAACUUCAUACCAAUCGGUGGAUCAUAUUCCAGCCUCUUCCCAAAGUUGGUCCAAAUGGGUUUGUUGCAACCCGUACCUCCAAACAGGCAAAACCUAAAGUCACCCUCCUACCGACUCGGUACCCGAUGUGCUUAUCAUUCAAUGGAAAAAGGGCACGACACUGAGGAUUGCUGGACACUUAAAAGGGCGAUCGAAAAUCUAAUAGAGCAAAAACGGGUAGUGUUGAGGGAUGAGGAGGUCCCCAAUGUAACUAAUAACCCAUUGCCGGCUCAUGACAACGGGCAAGUCAUUGGGAUGAUUUAUGAGGAUAGAGAUUUCGACCCAGCUUUGAAAGCUAUCAUUGUCAUUGCUGAUGUUUAAAAGAAGAACAGAGCGGCAACAAAGCAAGCUAAGGAUGAGAAGAAAAUCAAUUCCACUCCUCAAAGUGUAGAAAAGACUGUGGAAUCCAAGAUAGGGGCAGUGCCUCCUAAAGUUGUCGUUCUCUAUGUUCCUAGGGCCCCUAGAAAAGAACAGUUUGUGUUGAGUCCGCCCAAAAGGUUUGAGCAAAACAAGGUCUCGCUUAAGGUACCAAAGAUGUACGUACAAAAAGGGACUUAUGUGGUGUGGGGGCCGGUAAUUUCACCCAGGCUGACUGAGCUUGUGGUUAUCAGCCGCGCACCAUAGAAUCCCAUAAAGGAACCCACUGCCGUCCCCUGGAACUACAACAAAGCAGUGGUGACGUACAAAGGAAAAGAAAUCAUAGGGGAAGUGAAUGAAACGAACCCAUAUGGAAAGUACCUCAACCUGGAAGAAUUGAACAAGAUCAAACAGAAGCGUUUUCCGCUUAAGAAGCUAGUAAGUGCUGAAGAGGUAGAGGAAUUCUUCCGAAAGAUGAAAACCUCGGACUACAUCGUGAUUGAUCAACUCAGAAAGUCCCCCUCUCAGGUCUCACUUUUGUCCCUGCUGAUAAGCUCGAAUGAGCAUCAAAAAGUGCUGUUAAAGACGCUCAAUGAAGUAUAUGUUGCGGUCGAGACCACAGUUGAGCAAUUGGAAAGAAUAGCGGAAUGAUUUUUUGAAGUCAACCGGAUCUCCUUCAGUCUAAAUGACUUGCCACCAGAAGGGGAUGCCCACAACAAAGCUCUUCAUUUGACCGUUAAAUGUGAAGGAUACUACGUGAAAAAAGUUAUGUUGGAUGGCGGAUAUGGGGUUUACAUAUGCCCUCUCCCGACCCUACAGAGAAUGGAAAUUUGGACGGGAAAGAUUAGACCCAACAAUGUUGGCGUACAUGCUUUUGAUGGAAUCAAAAGAUAUACGAUCGAGGAGAUUGAUUUGAUCUUAACCAUCGGCCUUGUGGAUUUUGAAGUAACAUUCAGGUUUUGGACAUGGACAUCUCCUACAAUUUUCUCCUAGGAAGGCCUUGGAUCCAUGCGGCAGGGGCCGUACCCUCUACUCUCCACCAAAUGGUUAAGUUUGAACAUGGAAACCAGGAAAUAGUGGUCCACGGAGAAGAUGAACAAUCAAUUUAUAGGGACCCGUUAGUACUAUGUCUGGAGGCUAGAGAAGGUACCGAGCACAUAGUCUACCAAGAUUUUGAGAUCGUGGUCGCAGACUAGUGUGAGGAAGGAACCCCAUGUCCUCAACCCUUCUUAUCAAACACAUCAAUCAUGAUCACUAGUGCGAUGAUCAAGCAUGGCUACAAGCCUGGGAAAGGGCUUGGGGCAUCUUUGCAAGGCAUUACAGAGCCCAUCACUUUGACUACCAGUGAAAACUUCUUUGGUGUCGUCUUCCGAGCUACAGAAGCUAACGUAAAAUGGGCUAAUAAACGUAAUAACGAUGGGGGGGUUCUGCCUCAGCUGGUUUCGCAUCUCGCCAGAAUGUUUGUUAAGCCAAGGUACAUAGAAGAAGAAGAAGAAGAGGCCUUCACGACCGAAGAAAUUGAAGACAUAUGUGAAGCAAUGCGGCAAAUGUUAUAUGAGGCUCACAUGGUCCAGCCGGGUGAAGGCUCAAGCACUGUUGAGGUGCAAUAUAUGGGGCCAUGUGCCAAACUUCAAAAUUGGAAGGCUACUUCAUUCCCAGUUAGGCGGGAAGUCCGGUAGUUCAGUCUUGCCAUCUUUUCUACAUUCUGAGUUAUUUCAAGGUGUAACUCAAAUGUGUUUAGUUUAUUGUCUUUUAAAUUCCAAUGUAAACCCUUCUAUCUUCAUUCAAUGAAAUGAAAUCAAUAUUUCAUCGUCUAUGAAUCUCUCUCUGUAUUCUUUCUGAUUUUUGUUAUCUUUUCUUAUCUCUCUUUUUUAGUUCUAAUAAUGCGGACUUAAAUAACAUGACAUGUUUGCGGACUUCAUGCCCAGAUCCUAACACACUGUCUAACUGUGAAAUAAUGAAUCAAGAACUAGAAUAUGAUGGAGAUGAGGCUUUUAGGGAAAUAAAUCAAGAAAUAGAAAAAUUUGAGAAUAAACCUAAGCAGAACUUAAAUGAAACUGAGCCAAUUAACUUGGGUAGUCAGAAGAGGUCUAGGAAACCAUGAUAAGUAUUUACACUAAUGAAAGAACUAGGGAUGCAUAUAUCCAACUUUUGUUCGAAUUCAAAGACGUGUUUGCCUGGUCCUAUGAUUUUAUGCCAGGACUGAGUGUUGAUUUAGUAGUGCAUAAAUUGCCAACUUACCCCAGUUAUCCCCCUGUCCAACAAAAAUAGAGAAAGUUUAAAACAUACAUCAGUGACUAAAUCAAAGAGGAAGUCACCAAACAGUUGAAAGCGGAUGUGAUCCGAGUAGUUCGAUAUACCAAAUGGUUGGCUAAUAUGGUCCCAGUGCCAAAAAAAGAUGGGAAAACUCGAGUGUGUGUUGAUUAUCGGGAUUUGAACAAAGCAAGCCCCAAGGAAAACUUUCCAUUGACAAACAUCCACAUCCUUGUUGACAACUGUGCCAAACAUGAAAUACAGUCCUUCAUGGAUUGUUAUGCUAGGAAUCAUCAGGUUCUGAUGGAUGAGGAAGACGCAGAAAAGACAGCUUUCACCACACCUUGGGGUACUUACUGCUACAGAGUCAUGCCAUUUGGUUUGAAGAAUGUCGGGGCAACUUACAUGAGAGCUAUGACUGCCAUCUUUCACGACAUGAUGCACCAGGAAAUUGAGGUGUAUGUGGAUGAUGUAAUUAUUAAAUCUAGAACACAGGACGACCAUGUACGAGAUUUGAGAAAGUUCUUUGAGUGCCUGUGUAAGUAUGACUUGAAAUUAAAUCCAGCUAAAUGCGCAUUCGGAGUUCUAUUUGGAAAGUUGUUGGGGUUUAUAGUCAGUCGGAGGGGCAUCGAGCUAGAUCCAACAAAGAUAAAGUCCAUUCGGGAAUUGCCCCCUCCAAGAACUAAGAAAGAGAUUAUGAGUCUGCUGGGCAGGUUGAAUUACAUCAACAGGUUCACUGCUCAGUUGACUUCCACACGUGAGCCCAUAUUUAAGCUGUUGAAGAAAGAUGCGGCGAUUAGAUGGACAGAUGAGUGUCGGAAAGCUUUCGACAAAAUCAAAGAAUAUCUGUCGACACCUGGGUUGGUCCCACCCGAGCAUGGAAAACUUUUGUUCCUGUACUUGACAGUGUUGGAGAAUUCUUUUGGAUGUGUUCUCGGGCAACAUGAUGUGACCGGAAAGAAAGAACAAGCCAUAUACUAUUUGAGAAAGAAGUUCACUAGUUAUGAAGCCAAGUACACUUUGUUGGAAAGAACUUGUUGCGCCCUAACUUGGGUUGCCCAGAAGCUUAAGCAUUACUCGUUGGCCUACACCACUUAUCUCAUCACCAGAUUGGAUCCUUUGAAGUACAUAUUCCAAAAGCUGAUGCCCACAGGAAGGUUAGCGAAAUGGCAAAUCCUUCUCACCUAGUUUGACAUAGUCUAUGUCACCCGCACGACAAUAAAAGCUCAAGCCUUGGCGGAUCACCUAGAUGAAAAUACUGUUGAUGAUGAAUAUCAUCCUUUUAGUACUUACUUUUCGAAUGAGGAAGUAAAUUUCGUUGAGGCAAUUCUAGAAGACACCAAUGCUUGGAAAAUGUUCUUUGAUGGAGCUAUGAAUGCAAAAGGUGUCGGGAUUGGGGCAAUUUUGAUUUUGCCCACUGAUCAGCACUAUUCGGCUACAACCCGGCUUUGAUUUUUCUGUACGAACAACUCUGCCGAGUAUGAAGCUUGCAUUAUGGGCAUGAACAUGGAAAUCCAUUAGGAUGUGGAAGAAUUGUUAAUCACGGGAGAUUCCGACUUGAUUAUUCGACAAGCUCAAGGUGAAUGGGAAACUCGGGAUAUCAAGCUUAUUCCGUAUAUGCAACAUGUGGAAGAUCUUAGCAAGCGGUUCAAAUCCAUCGAGUUCAGGUACAUUCCUCAGUUUCAAAAUGAGUUAGCCGAUGCACUAGCUACUUUGGCCUCGAUGCUGCCAUAUCCAGGUAAUGUCCACAUCGGCCCACUGGAAACCCAAAUUCGAGAAAGACAUGGUUACUACAAUGCAGUUGAGAUAGAUCCAGAUGUUUAAACAUGGUAUCAUAAUAUCAAAAGAUUCUUGAAAAUAAAGGAAUAUCCCUAGCAAGCCAGUGGAGAUCAAAAGAGAACCAUUAGAAGGCUCGCCAGUAGUUUCUUCUUGAGUAGAGAAGUCUUGCAUAAAAGGACUCCAGACCUGAACCUUUUAAGAUGCGUGGAUGACCAAGAGGCUGGAAGAAUCAUGAAUGAAGUGCACCUAGGAGUCUGUGGACCCCAUAUGAACGGAUACGUCCUCACAAAGAAAAUCCUCGGGCAGGUUAUUACUGGAUGACUACGGAAAAGGAUUGUUUCAGUUUUGUCCGAAAGUGUCAUCAGUGUCAGGUAAACGGUGACCUGAUUCAUGCAUCGCCUUCAGAAUUACAUCCUAUGUCAGCACCGUGGCCAUUUGUUGCUUGGGGUAUGGAUGUCAUUGGGCCAAUUGAACCAAAAGCUUCAAACGGGCACAGAUUCAUCUUAGUUGCCAUUGACUAUUUCACAAAGUGAGUUGAAGCAGUCACUCUCAAAGCCGUCACCAAGAAAGCAGUGGUGGACUUCGUGCAUUACAACAUUAUCUAUCGUUUUGGUAAUCUUAAAACUAUCAUUACGGACAAUGCUGCAAAUUUCAACAGUCAUUUGAUGAGGGAGGUAUGCGAACAAUUUAAGAUCACGCAUCAGAAUUCUACCCCUUAUCGGCCUAAAUCUAAUAGUGUUGUUAAAGCAGCGAACAAAAACAUCAAGAAGAUCCUCAGGAAAAUGAUUCAAAGUUCUAGACAAUCGCAUGAAAAGUUACCUUUUGCAUUGUUGGGAUAUCGCACCACUGUGCGCACAUCCGUUGGGGCAACACCCUAUCUAUUGGUUUAUGGCACUAAAGCCGUAAUACCCGCAGAAGUUGAAAUUCCGUCUCUUCGAAUCAUCGUUGAAGCUGAGAUUGAGGACAAUAAAUGGGUCAAGACCCGUCUAGAAUAGUUAACCCUGAUUGAUGAAAAGCGGAUGGCCGCAUUUUGCCACUGGUAGUUGUAUCAAUAAAGAAUGGCCCGCGCCUACAACAAGAAAGUGCGGCCCAAAAACUUUGAAGUGGGGCAACUCGUCUUGAGACGUAUUCUCCCGCACAAUAUGAAAGCAAAAGGCAAAUUUGCUCCAAAUUGGAAAGGUCCAUACAUUAUAAGAAAAUUGUUGCCAAAAAGGGCGUUGUACUUAGGAGACAUUGAAGGAAAUGACCCCGAAGCAGCUGUCAAUGCGGACACGGUCAAAAGGUAUUACGUUUAACCCUUCUACGAUGCAGAUAUUCUCCGACUGGGAUGACGAAGGCUUUCAUUCUCACUACCCAAACACGUUUAACCCUUUGACAACCCUUUGAGCCAUUUAUCUUUCUUUGAUUACCCUCUUUGGAACCCGAAAGUGUAAAAAGAGAGAGAGAGAGAGAGAGAGAGAGAGAGAAAGAGAAAAAGAAGAAACAAACAAACAACAAAACAAAAGAAAUCAAAACAAAAACAAAGUUUCCUGAACUACGUUCGACUUGAUUCCGAAAGGAUAUGUAGGCAGCCUCUCUCUAGGGUUCAGUCACACCAAAACAAAAACCCAUGUUUCCCCAAAAGUUGAAACUAGGGCAGAAUUUAUAACGGUUCAACGACGGUUCACUUGAAAUGUUCCAAAAUUGUAAUUCAAUCCAAACUCUUUUUACCCUAAAUCCUGUUCAAAGUCCUUCUGAUCAAUCGGUAAAGAUGUUCAAAAGGGGAGGAUGUUGGUUACUUGGAUCUAAUACAAUCAAAUGAGAGAAAUAAAAUGAGAGAGUCUUCUUAGUAAAAAUCACACGGGCACUGUAAGGCGAUGAUGAGCUGAGAAAUUGAAAAUGAGAGAGUCUUGUUAGUGAAAACUCACAAAGAGCACUAUAAGGCGACGAUGAGAAGAUAAAUAAGAGAGGUCGAUUAGUGAAAACCCACAAAGGGCACCACUGAUCGAAAAAGGAAUCCCUUACAACCAUCGACACCGAUAGAGUCCUGGCAAGGUUUCUCGGUUUUGAGGUAUGAGUUAUGAUGGUUUUAUGAGAGUUGGAUGGUUUGCACAGAUCGGGCAUCCAGUCCAAGAAGCAUGUCAUGUCUAUUGAAGUCUACAUGCACUCCAUAUAAGUCCUUCUUUCCUUUAUUCGAAAUGGACACUUCUCGUUUAAAUUCAUUAUCUUGUCCGUUGUUUACUUUUCUUUGAAUCCCUUUUGGUCUAAUUCCUCCCCGAAACUAAUACAAAGAAGAGAUGGCAAGAUUGGUUUUACAGGGUUUUUGUUGACAAAAGCUAAAAUUCAAGAAAAGCACCCAACCUCAGUAGGUGCAUCAAGUCGACCUCGACUGGCCAUGAUGGCCGAUACUCCAGAGUCAAAAACUCUUGAAAAUAAAGGAAAUCAAAGUCAGGUGACCAUAAAGGCAAAAUAAGAUGGAAAAAGCCAAGCCCCAUACGGGUCAAUCAUCAUGUGGAAUUUAGGAAAAGUCAAGAUUCCCAGGUUUUAGAAACGAAACUAAUUUCCAGAGAGCCAGCAAACAAUGGAGAUUUUACUGAAAGAGUUGGGCCCAGAUAAAGUGAUUGAAAUAAGCAAGGCCACAAAACCAACCACCGUUUCAAACUGACAAAUCAUUCUUUCAUUGGAAAACAGGAAAAUAGGUGCAAUCCAAAACAACCUCGCAAGAAGCAGGUGCAAUAAAAGCAAGGUACGCAGAAACCAAAAUGGUUCUGCAGCAAAAGUUAGAUAAAAAAAAAGAGAAGUCCCUUUCAAACUCUUCAUUCAUUCUCCUAAAUAAAAUUCUAGAGUGAAAUAAAAAGAAAGAAGAAGAAAAGUUCAAAAUCAUGGUAGCAUAGGGUCUCCAAUCUCUAGCUAUGUUUUUCCCAACAUAGGGUCCCAUUCCCUAGUCGAUGCUAGCAUAACCUGGUAAUCUUUCCAACAUAGAGUCUCACCCCCUAGAUAUUUCCGGCAUAACCCGAUGACAUUCCCGGCAUAACCCAAGGACCUUUCUAGCAUAACCCGAUGACUUUUCCGGCAUAACCCGAGGACCUUUCGGGCUUAACCCGAUGACUUUCCCGGCAUAACCCGAGGACCUUUCGGGCAUAGGCCGAUGACUAUCCCAGCAUAACCCGAGGACCUUUUCGGGCAUACCCGAUGACUUUCCCAACAUAACCUGAGGACCUUUUCCAGCAUAACCCGAUGACUUUUCCGGCAUAACCCGAGGACCUUUUCCAGCAUAACCCGAUGACUUCCCCGGCAUAACCCAAAGACCUUUCCGGCAUAACCCGAUGACUUUCCCGGCAUAACCCGAGGACCUUUUCCGAAAUAACUUGAUGACUUUCCCAGUAUAAUCGAGGACCUUUUCUGGCAUAACCCGAUGACAUUUUCCGGCAUAACCCGAUGACAUUCCCGGCAUAACUCGAGGACCCUUUCCGACACCCGAUGACUUUUACGGCAUAACCCGAGGACAUUUUUCGGCAUAACCCGAUGACUUUCCCUGAGGACCUUUUUCGGAAUAACCCGAUGACUUUCCCGGCAUAACCGAAGACCCUUUUCGACACCCGAUGACUUUUCCGGCAUAACCCGAGGACCUUUACCAGCAUAACCCGAUGACUUUCCCGGCAUAACCUGAGGACCUUUCUGGCAUAACCCGAUGACUUUUCCGGCAUAACCCAAGGACUUCCCCGACAUAACCCGAUGACUCUGCCAGCAUAACCUAGUAGUCUUUUCCAGUAUAGGGCUCCCUCCCUAGAUGAUGCCAGCAUAACCUGGUAAUUUUUCUAACUGACGGCCUCCGAUCCCCAUAUGAUUUCAUUUUAGAUAUAGGGUCUUCACUCCAUAAUCUUUUUUUUCAAGGAUACACAAUCCUGAUUUUAUUGUUUUCAAUAAAGAAGUAGUUUAUUUUGUUACAAUAACUCACAAAAUUUUCCUAGUGAAAACUGGGUAAGAAAAAUUUCGUUCGUUUGUUCAUUAUGGUGUCUAAACAGGUUUUACCAUGAGGCACGAGGUUUGAGAUGACCAAAAAAAGAAGUCUCAAUCCGAAUAAAAGAAGAUAAAAACAAGAAAAGAAGUUGAACUUUAAGUGUAGAAGCGGAGAAAAGAUACGGACUGCUCAAGAUAUGAUUGAAGUCACAAGCUUUGCAUGUCCCGCCUUGAUCCGAAAAGCUGAAGAAGAAUGAACCAGCGGUUUGCAGCUAACGAGCAUCAAGAUUCAGAUCAGAGUCUGUAGGAAGAACCAGCCCAAGACUCAAGAUCCAGUUUUAGCAGGUUUAUAGAUAGGAAUCUUGUAACUCGUAGUUGAUACGCUUAGCUAGUUUUGUCUUUUAAUUUUUCACUUUGGUGUAAUAAGGAGCUCAGCAAGCAGAAACAGACGCAACAGUAGUGAAAUCACAGUUUCUCGGUAGUCCCAGCUACCAAAACUUCCUGAACUACAUUGACCUGAAUCCUUCAUAGCCAAGGAUAUGUAGGCAACCUUCGAAGUAAGGUUCGGUCAGACUUUUUCCAAAAAUAAAAUGCUUCCUAUGGAGUUUCAAACGGGCAAAAAUCGCUCGUAGUUGCUCAUCUUAUCUUUGCCCGAAAACUCUUCGUGUUUCCGAGAAAAGAGGGGCAGCUGUGAGCAUGUGAUUUUUGCCCUAUUCAAAAUACUCCUACAAAAUUAAAGGAAUAGAUUUUUUCCCAAUUGUUUGCAAUUUUAUAGGUUUUUUGUAGAAUUUUAUUAAUUGUUUGCAUUUUUGUGCAUGUUUAAUUUUUAUUAAAAUCAUGAAAAUGCCCCAAAAAUGUCAAAAACAUCAUGAAUUAUUUAUUAGACUUUGUGUUCAUAUUUUAGGAUUAAUUAAUUAAUUAAUUACUUUAUCAAAAUGAAAAAAUCACAAAAUUGUGCUCAUUUUUACCUUUUUAGCUUUCAAUUUUAGAUUGGUAAUUUCCUCUUCAUUAAUUUAGGAUUAACUAAUUUUUGUAAAUAUUAUAAAUAUAUAAUUAGUUUAAUUUUAUAAAUUAGAUUAAUUUAGGAUUUUAAUUAAUUAAAGAAAGGAAAAAGAAAAUAAAGAGAAAAAGAAACUAGAAAAGGUUUAAUUUGGUCUUGAAAUAAGGCCAAAUUUUGUACCCAAAUCCAUCCAAACCCAAGCCCAAAGACCAGCAUACCCGGUCCAGUGCCCUAGCCCCAAAACGACCUCGUUUUUACGUUCUUUCAUCAUAGCCGUUGGAUUCUUUUGAUCCAACAGCUCGAAACUUAAUCCCAUUUUUACAUAUAACUGUCCUAAACUAGAGACCCCCCAUCGACCCUCUCUCAUUCUAUCUCUAUAUACUCUCAAAAGAAACCUUAGCCGCCCUAGGAUUCCCUCGCCGGCUCCGCCUCUCUCCGCCGCCCGGAAAUCGCCUUAUGGCGGCGGAGCUUCUCCAAACUACUCCAAAUUAACACCCGACAAUCACCUUUCCCUCCCCCUUUAAAAGUGUCUGAACGAGACAUACCCCCAAACCCCUAAACUCCUUCAGUCUCUCAUCUUCUACGUCUCCAAAGAACCCUAGCCGUCGGAAAUUGUCUUCCGGCGCCGCCGCCCUAAACCACUGCCCUAGAUACCUCCAAAUGAGCCCAAAUCUUCGCCAGAUAGUCCACGUACCCUCCUCUUUCCAAGACCCCUAACAUCAUCUAUCAAAUCUUUAUAGGUUGCUCCGAUUUUCAGAUCUAAAAUUCUCAAAAAACAGUAUUCUGCCUCCUUUCUUCUUUUUCUUCGAUAUUGUUUGUUCAAGCCGACUCAUUUAUGUAAAGCUAGUUCCCUUGGCAAGAGAAAUAGAUCAACGUUGGUGUUGGUUCUUUUCAAGCCGCCGGAAUUCGGUCAGUCACCUUACCAUCCACCGGAAUUCCAUAGUCUUGUGACGACAUUCUCCGGCCAAGCUAGGGUUAUUAUCGUAACAUGCAACCACUAUACCUGUUUCUCUGAGCAAGAGUCAGUUGCUCGUGUGAAGAUAUCGACCCCGGAUCUGAUCGCUUGAAAUUAAUAGUUUGUCAUCCUCAGGUAUUCCUUCAGUUCAUUUUCCUUCCCUUGUCAAUUUGGUUUAACAUUUCUUUUUCUUUAUUUUAUUUUUCUGGCCAAUCAUCAUUUUGUUUUUUUACAUAAUGUAGAUUAGUUUAUGUUAAUGAUAAUAUGUUUAGCCUAAUUAUAAUGUUCAUUUGUCAACUACAAUUUGUUAGGUGAAUUAGAUCAGUUUUAGUCCAUUCAGAUUUUAAUUAAGUGUUAAUUGACAAUUUGUUUUGUUUUGGUCUAUAUCUAAUUUGGCCUUAAUUGUUUGAGUUGGGAGGUUUGAAUGCCAAUUGGAAUUGAAGGGGUUUGAAAGGGUAAUAUUGAAAACUUUAAAGGGGUAAUUAGAAAUCAAUUCAGGGAAUCCAAGGAUAGAAUGGCCUGGAUAGUUUUAGGAGGUUCUCGAAGGGGUUAAUGGACAAUCAAAUGAUCAGAAUUUAGGUCAAAUAGAUUAAAAUUGCAAUAAGCAGAAUUUAGAAGGGUAAAAUUGAGAGUUUUAAAUGGGAAAAUAUCAGAAUGUUCUAGUAUGGGACAGCUGUCCCCAUUCUUAGCAUGAAAAUGCUGAAAUUGGGUGGGAAAAAGGACGGACAACUGUUAAAAGAUGUUGUACUAUCUGACAUUUUAGGAAUUUAGGGCAGAAUAUGCCUUUUUGAUGCUGUUUUAUACACUCUAUAAAAGAAAAAGAACUUUACUGAUUCUUGGACAGAUUUUGAUCAAUAUAUUCACUCUAAAGGGUCCUCUGAAUACACAGAAAACUCAUGCAUCCUUCUUUUCUGGCAUUUAUAAUAGAAAACACACAUAGAAUCCCAAAGAUACCUUAAAAAUGGAGUUUGAAUCUAGAGCUGUUCUUUGUUGUUAGUGUGUUUUGUUACUGCUGUUUUCUGGGUUGUUGAGCUCUAUUUCCUAUGGUUUUUAUGACUUUUAUUUGGUCCCCAAUACUCUGAUUUCUACUCUAAUUACUGGUGGAAGCUGAUUUUCUAUUUUCUUUUCUCCAAAGUCAGAGGCAUAUUUCUUACUAUCUGUUGUACCUGUGACUGUUAAGGUAUUGAUUUCAUUCUCAUCAAAUGUAAUAGUUUUUGGAAUGCCAUAAAUAUCAUCAGAUUUGCAACUUUGGAUUGAUUACAUACUUGUUAAAUGUUCUACCCGUUAAUCUGGUAAUAUAUGGGUUGUUUGAAUAUUUUCUACCAUGUCUACUUUCUAACAAAACCGAGUCUGAUAUUUCAGCAUAUAACAGUAAUAUAACUAUGAGCUUGUUUGUUAAUGUUGUGUUAAUCAUGGAUUUUUGGUUGCAUUAGUUUGAGCACUUAAGGUGAAGUAACAUUGAUAUUUCCAGUUUGAUUUAAAGCAUCAGAUGUGUUGAAUGUUUCAAACCUUAAUGGAGGAGGAAACAAUGCUUUAAAAUCAGUUCUUUCUUUUAGCCUUGGAGUGUUAAAAUACAUUUGAAGUUCUGAAAAUUCCCUAAAUGUUUAAGAUUUAGAAGUUUUGGCAGCAUUCUCUUGUGUGUAAAGCCUUCCCCAUUUGGAAAUCACUUUGUCUUGGGUAUUAUUGGUAUUUGGUAAUGCAGGAGUUUGUAAGUGCUUGGCAUGAGGUACAGAUUUACAAAUCUAGCCACUGAUUGAUUAGCCGUUUGUGAAUGAUAGGCAACUUCAAGAACAUGGCAAAAAAUUAUUGCUAAGUUGAUCACUAGGCAGAUUCAAAAUUAAUUCGAUUUCAGCCUAUACAGAUUACUUUUCUUAAUUUAGUUCAAGGCCUGUAAUUAUUUGUAAAAAUGCAAUGAAGCUAUUCAUUAUUUGUAGUGUAUAAAAUGUAUUCAUAUUUAGUUUAAAUUAUAGUUGUUUCAGUUUUUUUUCUUUACAGCAGCCCAAAUAUUUCUUGAUUCAGAAUUUGAAACUGGGCCCAUUUCAUUUAAGCAUACUAGGACCAGUACAUAUUAACUUGAGAUGAUCCAGUUUAGGAUAUGUUAUCUGUUCUGAAAUGUGACUUAAAUAGCUAGUAUAGAGGUUUUGAAAAUCGUUGAUUUGUGCACAUCUAUAUUUGGCAAGGAUUGUGAGAUUACAAUGUGGUGUUUGAACUCUUUCUAGUCUUUUAUACAAUACAAAUGAUUUUUAAGUUUAACAUUUUGUCAAAAUUAUGUUAAGUAAUUACUAGUUGUCUUUACACAAUGUUGGAUCCAAUCAACCGUGGCCUGAUUUGUCAAAGUUGGUUCAUUGAUUUGUUAAUGUUUGGCUCAUUAACUUGUAGUGAUAUUAUUGGCUCCAAGGGAAAACACAUUUAGAUCAUGUGCCCGCAUUAACAGAAUUCACACUUUACCCGACCCCAUUCUUUGACAUUCACUUGACUGCAAACCUUAUAAAAAAAAAUGAUCAUAUGAACACCCGUAGUUUGCUUUAGGCACGUAACUAAAUCAUCGCAACUACGGGUACGAUUUCCGUGGCAUAGUUGUGAUACCUAAUUUUAAAUUAAGUUUAAAUAUAAAUAUCUGUAGUUCGCUUUAGUUGAGUAUAAUCUUUUGAAAUAAAUGGAGGCGUGCCAUUCACAAAUGAAUCCCAUAAUCUAUGACCCUCACAUUAAUACUAAGACUAGUGUGAAAAAUACUUGGAACAUUCAUAACUAUUAUAGAAAACACUUUGAACAUUCGUAGUUUGCUUUAAGAGCGUUUAUAAUAAAAUUAUCAUAGCUACGGGUACGGUUCCCGUGACGUAAUUGUGAUACAUAAUUUUCAAAUUCGGUGGUACAUUUAUGUGACCCGGCCACAACUUCUAAUAACGUUAAUAAAUUAAACAUGUUGUAGAUCGUGGGCACGGUUCUCGUGACACGAUUCACCGUGUGUAUUAAAUAAACAAGUGUACGACAAUCGUAACUUGUUCAAGAAAUAAUUCCAUAAAUUCUAAAAAAGCGGUUAAAUUAAUUAAUAGUUAUUAUAAAGUUAAAAAUGCACACUAGAUUCAAAACAUGUAGUAAAUCAGAUAAUUCGACCAAUAUUAAUAGUUAAGCGAUUGUGCUCGAACCACGAAAUCCGGAAAUGCCUAACACCUUCUCCCGGGUUAAUAGAAUUCCUUACUUAGAAUUUCUGAUUUCGUAGACUUUUAAAUAAAGUUAAAUUCUCCUCGAUUUGGGAUUUAAAAUAAAUCGGUGACUUGGGACACUAAAUAAACUAUUCCAAGUGGCGACUCUGAAAUAAAUAAAAAAUAAUCUCAUUUCGAAUAAUGUCACUUUAAUUGAAAAAACUCCCUUAUAUCCCCUUUUGGUGGUAAAAAAGAGGUGUGACAAUAUUCAAAAGAAAUGUUGGAAUAUUAUGAUAAUUAUCGUUUUUACCUCAUUAUUACUGUUGUGCUUCAUAUAUAUUUAUAAUUUAUCAUACUGGUUUAUUGGACCACUAUUAAGUGUCGAUGUCGAUCCCUCGUCACUAUUUCUCCGAGGUUAGGCUAGAUACUUACUAGGUACGUGUUGAUUUACGUACUCAUGCUACGCUUCUGCAAUAUAUGUGCAGGAUCUGACAGGUUCAUUUGAUGGUCACCUUGGCGCGUAGGCGCAACAGUUGAGGGGUCCUUAUGGUGAAUUACUUUCCAUGCUACGUACCGUAGCCCAAAGAGUCUCCAUCUUAUUUAUAUACUCUAUCAUGUUUAUUUUAUAUUAUAGACAGAUGAUGUGUUAUUAUGGCGCUCUUUAGUAGGCGCUCAUGCACUUGUGAAACUGAGUUUUGGGAUAUUCUUGUUGAUGUUACGAAAUUGCAUAACAUUGUCACCUUUUGUUUUUAUAUCUUACUAAUUGUGUAUGUACCCAUGAUUUUAAAUGCACAAAUUUUUUUAUUUAAUAAAUUUUGUGAUUUCAAAAAUAAUAAAAUGAACAAUUAAUUUGAUAGUUCACCAUUGACUUGCCUAACGGCUAUGUUAGGCAUGUCGUGAAUUAAAUCUCGACAUUUCUGGCGACCAUUGUGCUUUUAAUAUUGCUCCGGUGUAGCCGUCAAAGUAGUACUGUAUUGUUGGCUGGAGAUUUCUCAAUUGUCGGCGACAUUUUGUGUUUGCUUUGGCUCCUCCAAUUAUCUUCUAUUUCCGUGUGGUUACUGUUACUUUGAUUUUUCAUCUCCCUUGUUUAUAUGUUGAUAACUAAAACAUUUUGCUGGUUCCUAUUUUUGAGCAGAUACGCUGCAAAUCAGGCCGGAAAUUUCGUCCAGUGUGUGUCUCAUUUUGUUACUGUUCCGGCAUCCUUCUUGAUUGUGCCAAUUAAAAAAUGCUUGUUUUGUUCCAUUGUAUUCGGAUUCAUGGGUUACGGAUCUGUUAGCAUUAUAUUGGGAUAUUUGCUAUGAUACUAUUAUUUUCGGACAAAAUCUUGCCAAAGAAAAAUAUACAUCUUUGAACCUGUAACAUUGUUUUACUAAAGAAUGUUACUGAUUUUGAGUAGGUGCAUUUGUUUGGAACGGAUACUGUCUUGAAAGCCUAUGAAAAUAAUUUCUUUAGAUUAUUGAGACACGACCCGCCUAUUGACCUUUCGGACCGGUCCCAAAAUAACGAGGCGAUGAUGAUAAAUAUCAGAAAAGGAAAAGACGAGAACGUGACGAACCAAUAACCUUUGGACAGAGACACGGCUAGCUACCGUAGUCGCAACCAAGGCGGUUCCCGUUCUCAUGUCUAGACGGAAAUCAAAUAUCUGAGCCUCAACCCAAUCGGGAGAUGUUUCGGCUUAUAUUCCUACUAAUGUAAUUUCCAUGGCUGAUGGACAAAUCUUCUUAUCCGUCGACCUCUCUCAUAAUACUUUUAAACUAUUUUCCAAAAAUCUUUUAAUAAAACUUUUUUCAAAAAACAAUUUUCCAAAAACAUAAUUUAAUGAAAAUUAUUUCAAAAAUAUAUGUAAUAUUUAAUUUAUUUUUACUUUAUGGUAUUUCACGAACAAUUUUACUUCUUUUGUCUUGCGAGGUACAAUCACGUGAAGCUGCUUCGGAAGGACAAUGGUUAGGUCGAUUUGAUUUCCCUAUCAAAAUACCCUGCUUCUAUCAGGACCCAGAUUCCCAACGUCGGAGUCGUAAUGGCGCCUAACAUCUACUUGCUAGGCAAGCAAACAUUAGAUAACCAUUUUAAUAAUUUAAAAUAGAGUAAUAACAAUUAUUAACGAUUAAUAAAGCUACAAUACAUAAGAUAAAACCAUAAUAUAACACAGUCUAGUCUAAUUCAAGAAAUUUGGAGUCACCAGUACAUGAACAACUAGAAUACUACAAGUAUGAUUUGAACAAAAUACAACUGUUUGAAAUGAAAUAAACAAUAAUGACAGAAAUAGAGGGGGACUUUAGGGAAUGCGAACGCCAGCAGCUCUACCUCAAGUCUCUGAGGACCAACACUAGUAUUUGCACAAGAAAUGCGAAAAUAUGGCAUGAGUACAACUGACCUAAUGUACUCUAUAAGUAUCGAGUCUAACCUUGACGAGAUAGUGACGAAGCUAUGACAAGACACCUACUAAUAUCCUAUGCAGAUAUACACAAAAGGCAACAGAAACAACAAAUAGGGCAUUUAACAUAAUAACAGGGAGGGAACAUGUAGAAAGAAAAGCACGAGAAGAAUGUCAAGUACAAAAUCACCAAGUAGCCCUUUUACAAAAUAAACUACAAUGCAACUGAUUAAAUCAUCAAUCCUGACAUCAAACAAAGAAAUGAAAUGUAGCCAUUACCCUUCGUACUUUUACUCUCGCCAUCACCGUGUAAUAUCAUAAAUGUAGCCAUUACCCUUCGUGCUUUUACUCUCAUCCUCACCAUAUAAUAAUGAUAAGAUAAAUGAAAUGGCACGGCAUCACCCUUCAUGAUUUUACUCUCUUUCUCACAUGAAAUGAUAAAUGAUACUAAGCAAUCAAGUGCACGACAUCACUCUUCGUGCUUUAAUCCUCACAAUCUCUCAAUCAAUGAUAAUAAUAUGCAAAUAAGGCAUGACAACACCCUUUGUGCUUUUUACUCUUCCUCCCCAAGCAAUAACAUUAAUCCACAAUAGCAAUGCAAGGUAGGGAGAAAAUUUCACUUCAAUUAUAGUGUCAUGAUAGGCAAAAUAGACUUUCAAUAUCUCAACAACUCCAAAAUAACUAAUAAAUAUGAAGGCGAACAAUUAAAGAAAUAAUAAUCUAGCUAAGGAAUAGAAAGCAUAAUCAAUAGAACAACAUAGUACAAUAAAAUAAUUUUCACCCGCAUACUUAAACCCAAUGAUAACACAUAACUACUCAUCACCUUACAUAUAUACCAUCCCUACACAUAAUGCACGUAGCAUAUAGACCAACAGGUCCUAAUUCCCUCAGGUAAAAGUUAACCACGACACUUAACUCUUCUGCAAUCAAAUCAAUGCUCAACCACGACUUUUCUAUAGAAUUAGCCUCCAAAUCAAUCAAAUAUAGCCAUAUAUAGUUCGGAUAAUUCAAAAUAAGCUUAGAAACUACCCAUGAGUAAAAAAGUGUCGAUCUUAAUGAUAUUGAAAAAAGUCAACAAAAGUCAACCCCGGGCCCGCUUGAUCAAAACCCGAGAUUCGGACCAAAAUCCAAUUACUCAUUUACCCCUAAGUCGGUUAUGUGAUUUAUUUCGAAAUCGGACCUCAAUUUGAGGUCUAAAUCUCAAUUUUACAAAAUUCCUAAUUUCUACCCAAAUCCCUAAUUUCUACCAUAGAAAUCCUAAAUUUGAUGUUAAACCACAUGAAAAUUAAUGAGGAUUUGAAAGAAAGUGAGUUAGAGUUGCUUACCAAUGAAUUUGGGAAGAAAAAAUUCUUCAAAAAUCGCCUCCAGUGUGUUUAGGGUUGAGAAAUAAUGUAAAAUGAGCUAAGUCUCGUUUUCCCCAUCUUUUACCCAACUGCAUGUAUCACAGUUGCGAACUCUUAUUCGCAUUUGGGAACACCGCAAAUGCAUAGAACGGAUCACAAAUGCGAUCAUCGUAUCAUAAGCCCAGAAGUCGCAAAUGCGAUAUAACCGUCUUAUAUAAGAAAGGCCACCCCUUCACAUAUGCAAGUCAAGUGUGAAGCUUCCCAACAUUACAUUGCGACACUAGAGUCAUAAAAGCGAAGCCAACAACCAUCGCAAAAGCGACUCUUUCUUCGCAAUUGUGAAGCCCCAACCCCUAGCACAUGCUUGAAAAUGCGAAACCAAUGUUCGCAAAAGUGAGACUUGCAAAUUUGAGUCUGACCUCGCAAAUGCGAGAUAUGUAGAUCAACACGAGGACCGAAGUACACCAGCUAUUUCAAAUCAUCCAAAACUCAUCUGAUACAUACCCGAAACUCACCCGAGCCUCUUGGAAUCCCAAACAAACAUGAACAUAAAUGUAAUAACAUUAUAUAAACUUGCUUCUGCGAUCAAAACACCAAAAUAACAUCUGAAACUACGAAGCGGACAUCAAAAUACAUGAAAUUCAAAAGGAAACUCAAGAGUAGCUAGAAACCCAAUCAAGUGUCUGAUUCCUCUCAAACUAACUCGGAAUAAUGUCAAAUUUUACUGACUAGUUUUAAAUAGCAAAACAGACCUAUUCAAAGUCUCAAAACAAAAAUCUAAACCCGGUAAUCAUAAACUCAACCUAUGGUCAAACCUGAUGAAUUUUUAAAUAUUCAAAUUGCCAUCUUUCAACAAAAUAAGUAUAAUCAACCUAGGGACAUCCGAAUUCAAUUUCAGGCAUACAAGCAAGUCUAAAAUUACAAUACGAACCUACCAGAAUCGUCAAAAUACUUAUCCCGGGUUGUUUAUCCAAAAUGUUGACUGUUGUCAACUCUAACCUUAUUUUUAGUCAAAAUUUUUAUUUUUCUUCAAAUUUCACAUAAAAGUUUUUCGAAAAGCGACACACACCACACACACAUACCAAAAAACAUCAAAUGAAACUACAGGAGGUCUCACAUUAUGAAAAUUAAAGUUAGUAAUCAAAUCAACCUAUCAGGUCGUCACAACUUCGUACUUCCCAUUCUUAGAUGUACUCAAAUAUAAGUAUAGUAGAACUCUUGUUAUAAUAUCGCUUUACUUAUUCUUUUAGGUAUUUAUUUGCUCUAUCUAUCACACCUAGAAUAUCAUGUUUAAAUAAAAUAAUAAAUAGAGUUGUCAAGCGUUAGCUAACUAUAGUUCACAUCAAAUACUUAGGCCUUAGACAUGUGCUUGCAAUUGGUUUGAUUAGCUUGAUUCGUAUUCACGUAGUUAAUCUAACUAGUUAGCUUAACUCGAGUAAAUUUGGGCUUGUGAAUAAUUUAGUUGUGUUUAGUCUCAAUUUUACUAUAUUAAAUUAUUAUGAGAUUUUUCUCUAGUCUUACCAUAUCUCAUACUGUGAUUGUCACGAUCCGCAUUUUUCACCCUCGAGAGUCGUGAUGACGCCUACUAGUGAAAACUAGGCAAGCCAAUCAACUGAAUUAUUUGCCUUGUUUCCAUUUUUUUUAAAUUCGUUAAUAGUUAUAGGCCAACAGUUAAUAAUCAACAAAAUUUAACAAGUGGAAAAUUCAAUUUCAAGCUUUAAUAAUCCUGCUAUAACAAUUCCAUAACAAAUCUACCCAAGAUUGGUGUCACAACUUCAUAGACUGUCUAAGAGUACUACAAAUAAAGGUUUGAAAGAAAUAACAAAAUAUUGUCUCUGGGAUUGCAUAAAGAAACAGGAAAAUAGAUAGAGGGAGACGACAAGGCUUGCGGACGCCUGCAGGACUACCUCGGGUUGCCUGAUGAACAAGUAGCAGAAAUCUCACUGCGGUCCGAAAUCUACAACACUGGGAUCUACACAAAAGAGUGCAGAGUGUAGUAUCAACACAAUCGACCCCAUGUGCUAGUAAGUGCCUAGCCUAACCUCGGUAAAGUAGUGACGAGGCUAGGACCAGAAUACCAAAUAAACAUGUACAGGUAAAUAAUGUACAACGGAAAAUAGAAGAAGAAAUAUAUAGUCAAAGAAGGGAGGGGGAAACAUGCUGCGGGAAAAUACCAAAUGGCAACAGGAGGACAAUAAUUAAAUAUAUGGAACACCACUAUUCAAUUAUCAACAAGAAUCAGAAAUCAAAUAAGUGCACGGCAUCACCCUUCGUGCUUUUACUCUCAUCCUCACCAUAAAAAAUCAAUAUAAACUGCACGACAUCACCCUUCGUACUUUUACUCUCAUCCUCACCAUAAAAUCAAUAUAAUCGGCACAGAAUGGUACAUCGUGCGGCACGACAUCACCCUUCGUGCUUUAACACUCUCUCACCAAAACAAUGCACGACAUCACCCUUCGUACUUUACACUCUUCCUCACCCAAACAACAAACACAAACAAUAAGGGCAAGGAAUAAAUGAAUCAUAAUAAAAUCCGGCAAGGGAACAAUAUCAAAACAACAACAUCCCAGCAAGGGAACAACAUUAGAAGCCGCAACAUCCUGGCAAGGGAUUAAUACCAUAAUCCUCUUCUCAUUUUUCACAUUUACUUCACAACUUGAUUCACAAUUUGAGCCAAUGCUCUAUAAGGUUCAAUUGCCAAUUUUCUUUCCACAAACCUUUGCUCAACAAUAGCAACCACCACAUUAAACAUGAACUAUACAAACAGAGUCACAUUAAUCAUCACAUAAGACUCACGGGCAUGCUUGACACCAAUGUAUAGAUAUUCAUCACCAUGUCUAUACAUUGUACUCAACAAAUAAUACAUAACAAAUAGGACACAACUCCUAAUCCCUCAAGCUAAGGUUAGACCAAACACUUACCUCGCUUGGCAACCAAAUUCAAGAUUCCAAUGAACCUUCGCCUUCAAAAUUCAUGUCCGAAGGCUUCAAAUCUAGUCACAAAUAAUUUAAUAUACUCAAUACAAAUAGUAGAAAUUAAUUCCAUAUAAAUUUGCUAAUUUUUCGGAUUAAAAUCUGAAAUUUAACUCAAAAAUUGCAUGUAGGGCCCACUUUUCGGAAUCAUAUGAAACUCACAAAAUGUGAUAACCCAUUCCGGUACGAGAUCAACCAUAUAAAAAUUAUCGAAUUCCGACAUCGGAUUGGCUUUCAAAUCUUAAAUUUUUGUUUUCGGAAGAUUUGGUAAAAAUCUGAUUUUUCUUCCAUUAAUUCAUGGGUUCAUGAUGUAAAUGAGCAUGGAAUCAUGAUCUAUAAAUUAUUUAUUAUAAAGAACACUUACCUCAUUCAAAUUUAUGAAAACCCCUAUGACAAUCGCCCAAACCGAGCUCCCCCAACUCUAUUUUUGUCAAAAUGGCCAAAACCCCAGUUUUAUAGCAUUUUUACGAUUCGGGCGCCACAGGUGGCUCCAGGCGCUGCCUGUGGUGCUGGUUCCAGUAGCCAAAAAUUAUCCCGGCACCAUGGANNNNNNNNNNNNNNNNNNNNNNNNNNNNNNNNNNNNNNNNNNNNNNNNNNNNNNNNNNNNNNNNNNNNNNNNNNNNNNNNNNNNNNNNNNNNNNNNNNNNNNNNNNNNNNNNNNNNNNNNNNNNNNNNNNNNNNNCCCUGACACGAAAAUGGGCAUAACUCUCUCAUACGAUGUACGAAUUGGACGAUUCUUUUUGCUAUGGCUCUGAAAUUUUGAUACGGAUCUAAUGCUUCAAUCAAAACUGAAUUUGGAGCACAUUUUAUUAAUAUAAUACCACUUAUUCUUAAAGAACGACAUCGAAGCAUUCUUGAAAUGCCCAAGUUAAACUCCAUCAACCAUCCAAAAUCCACUCGAGGCCCUCAAGACUUCAGCCAAAUAUAUCAACAAGUCUUAAAACAUCAUAUGGACUUACCUAGGGUUUCAAAUAACUCCAAGAAAUGUUGAAAUGCCAAUUCACACCUCAAUUCGGACUUAUGAGUUUCAAACUUUUCAAUUUACAUAACUUGUGCCGAAACAUAUCAAAUGAAUCAUGAAUGACUUCAAAUUUGGCACACAAGUCAUAAAUGACAUAAUGGAGCUAUUCCAAUUUUUAAAAUAUCAAUACGAGCCCAGUAUCAAUAAAAGUCAAAUUCGUAGUCAAACUUUGGAAACAUUUAGCCUUUAGAUUUUUAGUUUUUUGUUAAAUGGCUAUAACUUGAGCUAGGGACCUCCAAAUUUGAUUCCGGGCAUACUCCCAAGUCCUAAAUCACGAUACAUACCUACUUGAACUAUCAAAACACUUAUACAGGUCCGUUUGCUAAAAAUGUUGACCGAAGUCAACUCACUUGAGUUUUAAAGCUCUAUUUCACAUUUUAAUCCAUUUUUUUCACAUAAAAACGUUCUGAAAAAUUAUACGGACUGCACAUGCAAAUCGAGGUGAGGUAAAAAGGAGGUUUUUAGGCCUCGGAACACUGAAUUUGUUUCUAAAACAAGUGAUAACUUUUUGGGUCAUCACAUCCUCCACCUCUAAAAUAAUAGUUCGUCCUCAAAUGGACAUAAGAAGGAAGUACCUGAGUCGGGGAAAAGAUAGGGAUAACAGCUCCGCAUAUCGGACUCAGACUCCCAGGUCGAUGCUUCAGCAGCUGACCUCUCCAUUGAACACGAACAGAAGGAAAACUCUUUGAUCUCAACUAACGGACCUGCCGGUCUAGAAUAGCUACCGGCUCCUCCUCAUAGGACAAGUCCUUGUCCAACUGGACAGUGCUGAAGUCUAACACGUGGGAUGGAUUGUUGUGAUACUUCCGAAGCAUGGACACAUGAAACACUGGGUGCACGGCUAAUAAGCUCGGCGGCAACGCAAGUCCGUAAGCCACCUCUCUCACUUGAUCAAGAAUCUCAAACAGGCCAAUGAACCUAGGACUAAGAUUGCCCUUCUUUCGAAAUCUCAUCACGCCCUUCAUAGGCAACACCCGAAGCAAUACCCGCUCACCGACCAUGAAUGCCAAAUCACGAACCUUACGGUGGGCAUAACUCUUUUGCUUGGACUAAGCUGUACGAAUCCUAUCCUGAAUAAUCCUGACCUUGUCCAAGGCAUCUUGUACUAGAUCCAUACCCAACAACCGAGCCUCUCCUCGCUCAAACCAUCCAACCGGCAACCGACACCACCUAUCAUAUAAAGCCUCAUAAGGAGCCAUCUGAAUACUCGACUGGUAACUGUUGUUGUAGGCAAACUCUGCUAAAGGCAAAAACUGAUCCCACAAGCCUCCAAAGUCAAUGACGCAAGCUCGGAGCAUAUCCUCCAAAAUCUGAAUAGUCCGCUCAGACUACCCGUCUAUCUGAGGAUGAAAUGUUGUGCUCAACUCAACCCGUGUGCCAACUCUCGCUGAACUGCUCUCCAAAAAUGUGAGGUAAACUGUGUACCUCGGUCCGAGAUGAUAGACACGGGUACACCAUGGAGACGAACAAUCUCCCGGAUAUAGAUCUCAGCUAACCUCUCGGAAGAAUAGAAGACUGCCACAGGAAUGAAAUGUGCUGACUUGGUUAGUCUAUCAACAAUAACCCACACUACAUCGAACUUCCUUUGAGUCCGUGGGAGUCCAACAACGAAGUCCAUAGUGAUACGCUCCCACUUCCACUCAGGAAUCUCAAUCUUCUGGAAUAAACCACCAGGCCUCUGAUGCUUGUACUUAACCUGCUGACAAUUCAAACAUCGAGCCGCAUAUGCAACAAUGUCCUUCUUCAGUCUCCUCCACCAAUAAUGCUGCCGCAAAUCCUGAUACAUCUUGGCGGUGCCUGGAUGAAUAGAGUACCAGUAACUAUGGGCCUCCUCUAGAAUCAACUACUGAAGUCCAUCCAUACUAGGGACACAAAUGCGACCUUGCAUCCUCAAAACACCAUCAUCUCCUAGUGUGACCUGCUUGGAAUCUCCGUGCUGCACCGUGUCUCUAAGGACACAUAAAUAAGGAUCAUCAUACUGUCGAUCUCGGAUACGCUCCAAUAAAUAAGAGCGAGCAAUUGUACAAGCUAAUAUGCAGCUAGGCUCAGAAACAUCCAACCUUACAAAUUGAUUGGCCAAAGCCUAGAUAUCCAAAGCAAGCGUUCUCUCACCGACUAGAAUAUACGCAAGACUGCCCAUACUGACUGACUUCUUACUCAAAGCAUCGGCCACCACAUUGGCCUUUCCCGGAUGAUAUAAGAUGGUGAUAUCAUAGUCUUUCAACAGUUCCAACCACCUUCUCUGCCUUAAAUUCAGCUCCUUCUGCUUGAACAAGUAUUGCAAACUCUUGUGGUCCGUGAACACCUUACAUGCCACACCAUACAGAUAAUGCCUCCAUAUCUUCAGCGCGUGAACAAUGGAUGCUAACUCGAAAUCAUGGACUGGAUAGUUUUUCUCAUGAAUCUUCAACUGACGCAAAGCAUAAGCAAUGACCUUUCCAUUCUGCAUCAACACCGCACCAAGCCCAACACGAGAUGUAUCAUAGUAAACUGUAUAUGGGCCUGAACUUGAGGGCAGAACCAACACUGGCACCGUAGUCAAAGCUGUCUUGAGCUUCUGGAAACUCGCCUUGCACUCAUCCGACAACUAAACUAGGCACCCUUCUGGAUCAACCUGGUCAUCGAGGCUGCAAUAGAUGAAAACCCCUCCACAAACCGACGAUAAUAGCCUGCCAAACCCAAGAAACUCCAGAUCUCUAUAGCUGAUGUGGGUCGAGGCCAGUUCUUUACUACCUCUAUCUUCUUUGGAUCUACCUGAAUACCCUCUGCUAAAACCACAUGACCCAAGAAAGCAACUGAACACAACCAAAAUUCACACUUCAAAAACAUAGCAUACAACUGACUAUCUCUCAAAGUCUGAAGAACCACUCUCAGAUGUUGUUCAUGCUCCUCAUGACNNNNNNNNNNNNNNNNNNNNNNNNNNNNNNNNNNNNNNNNNNNNNNNNNNNNNNNNNNNNNNNNNNNNNNNNNNNNNNNNNNNNNNNNNNNNNNNNNNNNNNNNNNNNNNNNNNNNNNNNNNNNNNNNNNNNNNNNNNNNNNNNNNNNNNNNNNNNNNNNNNNNNNNNNNNNNNNNNNAGGGCAUUCGUCAGCCUGAACGACAUCACCAAGAACUCAUAAUGCCCGUACCGAGUGCGAAAAGCUGUCUUAGGGACAUCGGAUGCCCUAAUCCUCAACUGAUGGUAGCUAGAUCUCAAGUCGAACUUAGAAAACACUUGGUCACCCUGAAGCUGGUCGAACAAAUCAUCAAUCCUCGGCAAUGGGUAUUUAUUCUUGAUUGUGAACUUGUUCAAUUGCCGGUAUUCUAUACACAUUCUCAUCGAUCCGUCCUUCUUCUUGACAAACAACACCGGUGCACCCCAUAGCGAGACACUGGGCCUAAUGAAACCCUUAUCAAGCAAGUCUUGCAACUGCUCCUUCAACUCUUUCAACUUAGGCGGGGCCAUACGAUAUGGCAGAAUAGAAAUAGGCUGAGUGUCCGGAGCCAGAUCGAUGCAAAAAUAAAUAUCCUUGUUAGGUGGCAUACCCGGUAGGUCUGAAGGAAAUACCUCAGGAAACUCACGGACAAUGGGCACAGAAUCAAUAGAAGGAACCUCGGUACUGAAAUCGCGAACAUAUGACAAAUAGGCCAAACACCCCUUCUCAACCAUUUACCGAGCCUUCGUAUAAGAGAUAAGGCUAUAGGUAGAAUGACCAGGAGUCCCUCUCUAUUCUAAACGAGGUAUACCCGGUAAGGCUAAGGUCACUAUCUUGGCAUGACAAUCUAAGAUGGCAUGGUAAGGUGAUAACUAGUCCAUCCCUAGUAUGACAUCAAAAUCAACCAUGUCCAACAGUAAUAAGUCUACUCGGGUCUCAACACCCCCAAUCACAAUCACGCAAGAAUGAUGAACACGAUCUACCACAAUAAAUCACCCACCAGGGUGGACACAUAAAUAGGAGCACUCAUAGAAUCACUGGGCAUGACCAGAUACGGCGCAAAAUAAGAUGACACAUAAGAGUAUGUAGAACCUAGAUCAAAUAGCACUGAAGCAUCCCUACUACAAACCAAAGUCGUACCAUUGAUAACUACAUCAGAAGCCUCAACCUCCACCCUGGCUGGAAGAGCAUAAAAUUGGGGCUGGGCCCUACCACCCUAGACUACAUCUUUGGGACGACCUACUGCUGGCUGGUCUCUACCUCUAGCAGCCUGAGCUUCGCCUCUAGAACCUCUACCUCCACCUCUAGCACCUCUACCUCCACCUCUGGCUAGCUGGGCGGGCUGUGGAACACUCGGUGCCUGAACCAUGGCACGGGAACCCGGAUGCUGAGAGCUGCUCGAUGCUCGAGGACAAAAUCUAGAAAUGUGACCUGUUUCACCACAAGUAUAACAAGUCCUCGGCUACUGAGACUGCUGACCCUGACGACCUGAAUGGCCACCCUGAAAACUCUAGAGCAGUGGUGCAUUGAUAGGAGCUAGUGGUGCACUAUAGGACUGCUAAUCAGAAUACUACAUGUGAGAACCACGACCACCUGAAGCACCAUGAGAAACCUAAAGUGCCGAUAGAAAAUGCAUAGGAGGAUGGCCUCUACCAUACAAAUCCCUACCUCCAGACGAGGCGCCACUGAAUCUGCCUGAAUGACGAGGCCUCUUGUCAGACCCCUGGCCACCUCCCUGUGAUAAAACCAUCUCAACCCUCCUGGCCACAUUGGCCACCUCCUGGAAGAAAUGUCAUUCCCCGUCUCCUUAGCCAUCUAGAGUCGAAUAGGCUGGAUAAGUCCAUCAAUGAACCUCCUCACCCUCUCUCUCACACACACACUAGGAAGUAUAAGUAGAGCAUGACGGGCCAACUUGAUAAACCUGGUCCUGUACUGAGUAACAGUCAUAGAACCAUGCUGGAGGUGCUCAAACUGCCUCCGAUAGAUCUCUCUAUGAGUAACAGGAAGAAACUUCUCCAAGAAUAGCUGAGUAAACUGCUCCCAAGUCAAAUCUGGUGAUCCGGCUGGUCUAGCCAAACAGUAAUAUCUCCACCAAGUCUUGGCGGAUCCAGAUAAGCGAAAAGUAGCAAAAUCGACCCUAUUGGUCUCCACUAUCCCUAUGUUCCUGAGAACCUCGUGACAACUGUCUAGAUAAUCCUAGGGAUUCUCAAAAGAUGCACCGCUGAAAGUGGCAGUGAAGAGCAUGGUAAACCUAUCCAAUCUCCACAAGGCAUCGGCAGUCAUAACUGCUCCGUCACCAGUCUGGGCUACCAUACCCGGUUGAACUGCUCCAACUAGCUGAGCUGUUGGAGUCUAAAACUGGGGAGCCACCUGCUCUGGAGUGCGAGUAGCAGGAGUCUGGGACCCUCAUCCAGUAUGAGAAACGGAUGGUGCUACAGGAAGCAAGCCUACCUGGGUGACGCUCUCCAUGAGGCCAACUAGACGGACCAGAGCAUCCUGAAGUACUGGGGUAGCAAUAAACCCCUCUGGGACUUGAGCUGGGCCCACCGGAGCUGUCUUGGUCGAAACCUCCUCGUCAAACUCAACCAGAGGUUCCGCCACUAGUGCCGCUACUCCGGGCUAAGCUCGGCCUCUAGCACGGCCUCGGUCUAACCCUCUGCCCCUCGUGUGAGCUACUGCUGGGGGCUCGGGCUGCUGAUCAACAAAUGAGGAAGCGCGUGUUCUCAGCAUCUGCGAAAGAACAGAGUAGAAAUUCAAUUAGCAUUGAGAAACCAAACCGCACGACGGGAAAUAAUAUAUGUGAAAUUUUACCUAACUCUGUAGCCUCUGGGGAAUAAAUACAGACAUCGCCAUACCGAUCCCUCAGACUCUACUAAGCUUGUAUGUGAAUUGUGAGACCUAUGUAACCUAGAGCUCUGAUACCAACUUGUCACGACCCGUAUUUCCCACCCUCGGGAGUCGUGAUGGCGCCUACUAGUGAAAGCUAUGCAAGCCAAUCAACUGAAUUAUUUGCCUUGUUUCCAUUUUUUUUUAAAUUCAUUAAUAGUUAUAGGACAACAGUUAAUAAUCAACAAAAUUUAACAAGCGGAAGAUUCAAUAUCAAGCUUUAAUAAUCCUGCUAAUACUAUUCCAUAACAAAUCUACCCAAGAUUGGUGUCACAAAUUCAUAGACUGUCUAAGAGUACUACAAAUAAAGGUCUGAAUGAAAUAACAAAAUACUGUCUCUGGGAUUACAUAAAAGAAACAGGAAAAUAGAUAGAGGGAGACGCCAAGGCCUAUGGACGCCUGCAGGACUACCUCGGGUCGCCUGAUGAACAAGGAGAAGAAAUCUCACUAUGGUCCGAAAUUUACAGCACUGGGAUCUGCACAAAAGAGUGCUGAGUGUAGUAUCAGCACAAUCGACCCCAUGUGCUAGUAAGUGCCUAGCCUAGCCUCGGCAAAGUGGUGACGAGGCUAGGACCAGACUACCAAAUAAACCUAUGCAGGUAAAUAAUGUACAACGGAAAAUAGAAGCAGAAAUAUACAGUCAAGGAUGGGAGGGGAAACAUGCUGCGGGGAAUACCAAAUGCCAAUAAGAGGAUAGCAGUUAAAUUUAUGGAACACCACAAUUCAAUUAUCAACAAGAAUCAGAAUUCAAACAAGUGCACGACAUCACCCUUUGUGCUUUUACUCUCAUCCUCACCAUAAAAAAUCAAUAUAAACUGCACGGCAUCACCCUUCGUACUUUUACUCUCAUCCUCACCAUAAAAUCAAUAUAAUCGGCACGGAAUGGUACAUCGUGCGGCACGGCAUCACCCUUCGUGCUUUAACACUCUCUCACCAAAACAAUGCACGACAUCACCCUUCGUGCUUUACACUCUUCCGCAACCAAACAACAAACACAAACAAUAAGGGCAAGGAAUAAAUGAAUCAUAAUAAAAUCCCGACAAGGGAACAAUAUCAAAACAACAACAUCCCGGCAAGGGAACAAAAUUAAAAGCCACAAUGUCCCUGCAAGGGAUCAAUACCAUAAUCCUCUUCUCAUUUUUCACAUUUACUUCACAACUUGAUUCACAGUUUGAGCCAAUGAUCUAUAAGGUUCAAUUGCCAAUUUUCUUUCCACAACCUUUGCUCAACAAUAGCAACCACCACAUUAAACAUGAACAAUACAAAUGGAGUCACAUUAAUCAUAACAUAAGACUCAGGGGCAUGCUUGACACCAAUAUAUAGAUACUCGUCACCAUGACUAUACGUCGUACUCAAUAAAUAACACAUAACAAAUAGGACACAACUCCUAAUCCCUCAAGCUAAGGUUAGACCAAACACUUACAUCGCUUUGCGACCAAAUUCAAGAUUCCAAUAAACCUUCGCCUUGAAAAUUCAUGUCCGAAGGCUUCAAAUCUAGUCACAAAUAAUUUAAUAUACUCAAUACAAAUAGUAAAAAUUAAUUCCAUAUGAAUUUACUAAUUUUUCGGAUUAAAAUCCAAAAUUUAACUCAAACAUUUCCUGUGGGACCCACUUCUUGGAAUCAUACGAAACUCACAAAAUGUGAUAACCCAUUUCGAUACGAGCUCAACCAUACAAAAAUUAUCGAAUUACGACAUCGGAUUGGCUUUCAAAUCUUAAAUUUUCGUUUUUGGAAUAUUUGGUAAAAAUCUGAUUUUUCUUCCAUAAAUUCAUGGAUUCAUGAUGUAAAUGAGUAUGGAAUCAUGAUCUAUAAAGGAUUUAUGAUAAAGAACACUUACCUCAUUCAAAUUUAUGAAAACACCUCUGAAAAUCGCCCAAACCGAGCUCCCCCAACUCUAUUUUUGUCAAAAAUGGCCAAAACCCCCAUUUUAUAGCAUUUUUACGAUUCGGGCGCCACAGGUGGCGCCGGGCACUGCCUGUGGCGCUGGUUCCAGUAGAUAAAAUUAUCCCGGCGCCAUGGAUGGCGCCCCGCGCUACCCUGGGCACUGGCGAUGGAAAUUAUUUUUUUCCGACACGAAAAUAGGCAUAACUCUCUCAUACGAUGUCCAAAUUUGACGAUUCCUUUUUCUAUGGCUCCGAAAUUUCGAUACGGAUCUAAUGUUUUAAUCAAAACUGAAUUUGGAUCCCAUUUUCGUAAUAUGAUACCACUUAUUCUUGAAGAAACGACAUCGAAACAUUCUUGAAAUGCCCAAGAACUCCAUCAAUCAUUCAAAAUCAACUAGAGGCCCUAGGGACUUCAAUCAAAUAUAUCAACAAGUCUUAAAACAUCAUAUGGAAUUACCUAGGGUUUCAAUCAUUCCAAGCAAUGUUGAAACGUCAAUUCACACCUUGAUUCGGACUUAUGAGUUUCAAACUUUUCAAUUUACAAAACUUGUGCCGAAACAUAUCAAAUGAAUCCGGAAUGACUUCAAAUUUGGCACACAAGUCAUAAAUGACAUAAUGGAGCUAUUUCAAUUUUCGGAAUAUCAAUACGAGUCCGGUAUCAAUAAAGUCAAAUCCGUAGUCAAACUUUGGAAACAUUUAGACUUUAGAUUUCUAGUUUUUUGUUAAAUGACUAUAACUUGAGCUAGGGAGCUCCAAAUUUGGUUCCGGGCAUACACCCAAGUCCUAAAUCACGAUACGGACCUACUUGAACUAUCAAAACACUUAUACAGGUUCGUUUGCUAAAAAUGUUGACCGAAGUCAACUCACUUGAGUUUUAAAGCUAUAUUUCACAUUUUAAUCCAUUUUUUCAUAUAAAAACAUUCUAAAAAAUUAUAUGGACUGCACAUGCAAAUCGAGGUGAGGUAAAAAGGAGGUUUUAGGCCUCGAAACACUGAAUUUGUUUCUAAAACAAGUGAUGAUUUUUUGGUUCAUCACAGUGACACUUAGAUUCAUUUUUGUGAAUAAUUCUUUGGCAAAGAAUAUGAUUUAAAGUAAUAGACUUAGGCGAAGUUUUAAUCAUAGGAACAAUUUAUUUAUUUUUUACACAUACUCUUUCACCAAAACAUAAAUCUUCUCUUGUAUAUCAUUGGCAAAUCUUUCCUGUUCUCUAUUGAUUCUUUACUCAACUAACCCUUUAGGAAAGAACCUUAGUCAACCUAUCAUAUAAGAUUUGUGAUAAUUCUUUCUUAUGCUCCCAUAUUUAUGAUAAUGUUUUCUACUUUAUUUGAUUAUUUCUUUUAAGUUAAUUGAUAUCUAUUUUAUUCAAAGAUAAUUCUCUACCUUAUUUACAUGUAUUCAUGUCACGACCCGAAUCCGAUCGUGAUGGCGCCUUUCGUAAAGACAAGGCCAGCCAGACCAAAACAGAACAACUUUUUUAAUUAGUUAAUUAUCAUAAAAAGUAAUAAAAUAUGAUAUAAUAUCCAUAAAUUGCGAAAUUUAACGAUAACAACAGUAGAAACUAUCCAGACACAGUCCAAACCGGGGUGCCACAAGUCAUGAGUAACUAAGGAUCCCGAUACGAGUCUACUAAAUACAAAAUCUGGUACAUAAGUUCAAGGACAUGAAAAUAGUAAGAUAAGGGAGGCACGGGGGCUGCGAACGCCAACAGCUACCUCGUAGUCUCCAAAAAUGCUGCCUAGACUAGGAGGAUCAGCACUCAGGAGCGGACUCUGCGAUGCCUGAAUCUGCACNNNNNNNNNNNNNNNNNNNNNNNNNNNNNNNNNNNNNNNNNNNNNNNNNNNNNNNNNNNNNNNNNNNNNNNNNNNNNNNNNNNNNNNNNNNNNNNNNNNNNNNNNNNNNNNNNNNNNNNNNNNNNNNNNNNNNNNNNNNNNNNNNNNNNNNNNNNNNNNNNNNNNNNNNNNNNNNNNNNNNNNNNNNNNNNNNNNNNNNNNNNNNNNNNNNNNNNNNNNNNNNNNNNNNNNNNNNNNNNNNNNNNNNNNNNNNNNNNNNNNNNNNNNNNNNNNNNNNNNNNNNNNNNNNNNNNNNNNNNNNNNNNNNNNNNNNNNNNNNNNNNNNNNNNNNNNNNNNNNNNNNNNNNNNNNNNNNNNNNNNNNNNNNNNNNNNNNNNNNNNNNNNNNNNNNNNNNNNNNNNNNNNNNNNNNNNNNNNNNNNNNNNNNNNNNNNNNNNNNNNNNNNNNNNNNNNNNNNNNNNNNNNNNNNNNNNNNNNNNNNNNNNNNNNNNNNNNNNNNNNNNNNNNNNNNNNNNNNNNNNNNNNNNNNNNNNNNNNNNNNNNNNNNNNNNNNNNNNNNNNNNNNNNNNNNNNNNNNNNNNNNNNNNNNNNNNNNNNNNNNNNNNNNNNNNNNNNNNNNNNNNNNNNNNNNNNNNNNNNNNNNNNNNNNNNNNNNNNNNNNNNNNNNNNNNNNNNNNNNNNNNNNNNNNNNNNNNNNNNNNNNNNNNNNNNNNNNNNNNNNNNNNNNNNNNNNNNNNNNNNNNNNNNNNNNNNNNNNNNNNNNNNNNNNNNNNNNNNNNNNNNNNNNNNNNNNNNNNNNNNNNNNNNNNNNNNNNNNNNNNNNNNNNNNNNNNNNNNNNNNNCAUCACUCAAGCCACCUCAUGGCGUAUAAAAGUAUCUCAGGGCCUCGGCCUCAUAUCUCUCAGCAUAUACUCACAUAUGGACCUCGGCCUCACUCAGUCCAAAAAUCAUCACAAGCCCCUCGGGCAUUAGCAAAACAGUAGUUCUCAGCCCAAAACAUCUUUUAGAAAUAUCAUUUAAGUUUCAAAUAUGAGUAAAAAUGGCUGAGUUUGUAAAACAUUAAAUAUCAACAGGACUGAGUUCAAGUGAUAAAUCAAUACAUUGAGGAAUAGUGAUAAAAAUCCUCCGAGGGUUCAAAUAAUUGGCACGAAGCCCAAAUAUGGCAAUCAGCCCAAACCAUGAUGAUAACAAACAAGUUUUAGUCAAAUACGAGGUAAAAUCAUCAGUCGGGAUGGACCAAGUGACAAUCCCCAAUAGUAAAUGACUCCGCGCUCAUCAUCAAGCGCGUGUCUCACCUCAAUAUAGUACUAUGAUGUGCAAAUUCGGGGUUUCAAACCCUCAUGACAUCAUUUACAAUCAUUACUCACCUCGAACCGGCGAAAUCUCCAGCUCGCAACGCCUUUGCCCUUCAAAUUGGUCUCCACGCGCGUCGAAUCUAUCCAAAAUCAGAACGGAUACAUCAAAAUAUGCUAAGGGAACAAAGUCCAAGCAAAAACAAUCGAAAAGUAUCAAAAAUCCCGAAAUUAGCGAAACCCGAGCCCCGGGCCCACUUCUCGAAACUCAGAAAUUUUUACAUCAUUAGAUUCCUUAUCACCCCACAAGUUCAUACAUAUCAAAAGUUCUCAAAUCGGACCUCAAAUGGUCCUUCAAAUCCCAAUUUAAAAGUUCAAAAUCCCAAGCCCUAGUUCUUCCAUCUUUACCUUAAGUUCCAUGAAUUUCUAGGUUGAUUUCACAAUAGAAUCACGUUUUAGGUUCAAAAAUCUUACCUCCAAUCAAUUCUCCUUGAAUCCUUAUUUAAUCACCCUCAAAAGCUCUCAAAAUGCUCAACUAUGGAGGAAAAAUGACUCAAAAUCGCGGAUGAAAUAACUUAUAAACUUUCUGCCCAGUUCUGAUAUUCCUUCUUCGCGAACGCGGUCAACCUCUCGCGUUCGCGAAGCACAACUUCGCGUUGACCAACUUUUCCUCUUUGCAAACGCGACUCACCCAUUGCGAGCCCGAUGCUUCUUCCUCCUAUACCUUCGCGAAUGCGAACCCCUUACGCGAACGCGGUGAACAAAAAGGCCUUGAUCUCAAAUUACACUACGCAAUCGCGAGUACCCUCUCGCGAACGCGAUGCCCAACCUGCCAACCCUCCGCGAACGCAAAGCUCCACUCGCAAACGCGAAGGCUUAACCCUGGCCUUCCACAAUUCCUUCUUCGCGAACGCGAGGACCCCUUCGCGAACACGAAGAGAUAAAUCUCUGCAACACUGAACCUGCAUUUCUGCAAUUUCCCAAACUCCAAAAUGGUCCGAUUAACCACCCGAAACUUACCCGAGGCCCCCAAUACCUCCUAAAGGCAUCAACACAUCCUAAAACCUCAUUAAAAGUUGUUCCAAUCAUCAAAACACCUCAAACAACACCAAUUCCAUCAAUUCACAUUGAAUUCAAGCCUAAGUUUUCUAAAAACUUCUGAAAUACACUUUCGAUCAAAAACCAAACCAAACCAUGUCCGAAUGACCUGAAAUUUUGCACACACAUCACAAAUGACAUAACGAAGCUACAACAACUCUCAGAAUUCCAUUCCGACCCUCGGAUCAAAAUCUCACCUAUCAACCGGAAAUUACCAAAAUACUAACUUCGCCAAUUCAAGCCUAAUUAUACACCAGACUUCCAAAACCAAUUCCGAUCACACUCCUAAGUCAUGAAUCACCUCCCGAAGCUAACCGAACCAUCGGAACUUUGAUCCAAGUCCUAUAACACAUAAGUCAACACUCUGUUGACUUUUCCAACUUAAACCCUCUUAAAAGAAACUAAGUGUCUCAUUUCUUACCAAAUCCACUCCGAACGCAAACUACCCAACUCGCUCACAUAAAAAACGGAUAACGAAGCAUAAUGAAGCAGAAAUGGGGGAAAUGGAGCGGUAAUUCGUGAGAUGACUGGCUGGGUCAUCACAUCCUCCCCAACUUAAACAAACGUUCGUCCUCGAACGAGUCAAGAAACAUACCUGAAGCCUCAAAUAGGUGAGGAUAUCUGCUCUGCAUCUCCCGCUUAGUCUCCCAGGUAGCCUCCUCCAUGGGCCGACCUCUCCACUGCACCUUCACUAAAGUUAUAUCCUUUGACCUUGACUUUUGAACCUGACGUCCCAAAAUAGCUACUGGCUCCACAUCAAAGGUCAAAUCAGCAUCCAACUGAACCGUGUUGAAUUCCAAAACAUGAAAUGGGUCCCCAAUAUACUUUCGGAGCAUAGAAACAUGAAAUACCGGAUGCACGCUAGACAAGCUGGGUGGCAAAGCAAGCUCAUAAGCCACCUCCCCGAUCUUCCGAAGCACCUCAAAAGGCCCAAUGAACCGCGGGCUCAACUUCCCUUUCUUCCCAAAUCUCAUAACACCCUUCAUGGGCAAAACCUUCAGCAAGACCUUCUCACCAACCAUGUAGGAUACAUCUCGAAUCUUCCGGUCCGCAUAACUCUUCUGACGCGACUCUGUCAUACGAAGCCUUUCCUGAAUCACCUUCACCUUCUCUAAGGCAUCCUGAACCAAAUCUAUCCCCAAUAGCCUAGCCUCGCCGGGCUCGAACCAACCUACUGGAGAUCUACACUGCCUCCCAUACAAAGCCUCAUAUGGAGCCAUCUUAAUACUCGACUGGUAGCUUUUGUUGUAAGCAAACUCUACAAGUGGUAGAAACUUAUCCCAUGAACCUCUGAAAUCAAUAACACAAGCACGCAACAUGUCCUCUAAUAUCUAAAUAGUACACUCGGACUGCCCGUCCGUCUGAGGAUGAAAAGCUGUGCUCAACUCCACCUGAGUACCCAACUCUCUCUGCACGGCUCUCUAAAACUGGGAAGUAAACUGAGUACCCCGAUCUAAAAUAAUAGAAAAUGGAACACCAUGCAGCCGAACAAUCUCCCUAAUGUAUAAUUCUGCUAACCGCUUUGAAGAAUAGGUAGUACACACAGGAAUGAAGUGCGUAGACUUGGUCAGCCGAUCCAUAAUCAUCCAAAUAGCAUCAAACUUCUUCAAAGUCCGUGGAAGUCCAACAACAAAGUCCAUAGUGAUCCUCUCCCACUUCCACUUAGGAAUAACCAUCUGCUGAAGUAAGCCACCCUAUCUCUGAUGCUCAUAUUUCACCUCCUGACAAUUGAGACAUCGAGCUACAAAUCCCACAUAUCNNNNNNNNNNNNNNNNNNNNNNNNNNNNNNNNNNNNNNNNNNNNNNNNNNNNNNNNNNNNNNNNNNNNNNNNNNNNNNNNNNNNNNNNNNNNNNNNNNNNNNNNNNNNNNNNNNNNNNNNNNNNNNNNNNNNNNNNNNNNNNNNNNNNNNNNNNNNNNNNNNNNNNNNNNNNNNNNNNNNNNNNNNNNNNNNNNNNNNNNNNNNNNNNNNNNNNNNNNNNNNNNNNNNNNNNNNNNNNNNNNNNNNNNNNNNNNNNNNNNNNNNNNNNNNNNNNNNNNNNNNNNNNNNNNNNNNNNNNNNNNNNNNNNNNNNNNNNNNNAAAUCCGGCCCUGCAUCUUCAACACCCCAUCAUCACCAAUGGUCACAUCUCUAGCAUCAUCAUGUUGAACUCUGUCCUUAAGGACAAGCAAAUGCGGAUCAUCAUACUGGCGCUCUCUGAUGCGAUCAUAUAAGGAAGACCGAGAAACCUCACAUGCCAACACCCGACUGGGCUCCGAAAUAUUCAACCUCACGAACCGAUUGGCCAAGGCCUGAGCAUCAACUGCAAGAGGUAUCUCCCCAACUGGGAUGUAUGACAAACUCCCCAUAGUCACUGCCUUUCGGCUCAAAGCAUCAGCCACCACAUUGGCCUUUCUCGGAUGGUACAAUAUGGUGAUAUCAUAAUCCUUAAGCAACUCUAACCAUCUUCGUUGCCUCAAAUUAUGAUCCUUUUGCUUGAACAAAUGCUGAAUACUGCGAUGAUAAGUGAAUAUCUCACAAGAUACACCAUACAAAUAAUGCCUCCAAAUCUUCAAUGCAUGAACUAUGGCAGCCAACUCCAAAUCAUGAACGAGGUAGUUCUUCUCAUGGGGCUUCAACUGACGAGAAGCAUAAGCAAUAACCCUACCCUCCUGCAUCAAUACACAACCAAUCCUAAUACUCGAAGCAUCACAAUACACAGUAUAUGAACCCGAAGCUGAUGGCAAACCAAUACUGGAGCUGUGGUCAAAGCUAUCUUGAGCUUCUGAAAGCGCUCUUCACACUCAUCUGACCAUACAAAUGAAACACCCUUCUGAGUCAACUUGGUCAAGGGCGAUGCGAUAAAUGAGAAUCCCUGAACAAAUCGGCGAUAAUAGCCUGCCAACCCAAGAAAGCUACAAAUCUCUGUGGCUGAGGAUGGUCUGGGAUAACUCUGAACCGCCUCUAUCUUCUUCGGAUCAACCUGAAUACCCUCGCUGGACACCACGUGUCCCAAGAAAGCCACUGAAUUGAGCCAAAACUCACACUUGGAGAACUUUGCAUAAAGCUUCUCCUCCCUCAAUUUCUGCAACACUACUCUCAAAUGCUCCGCGUGCUCCUCCUGGCUACGAGAGUACACCAGAAUAUCAUCAAUGAAGACUAUAACGAACGAAUCAAGAUAAGGCCGGAACACGCUAUUCAUCAAAUGCAUGAACGCCGCUGGGGCAUUGGUUAGCCCGAAAGACAUUACAAGGAACUCAUAAUGACCAUAUCUAGUCCUAAAAGCAGUUUUAAGAAUAUCUAAAUCCCUGAUCUUCAACUGGUGAUAGCCCAAACGGAGAUCAAUCGUGGAGAACACUCUCGCUCCUUGAAGCUGAUCAAAUAAAUCAUCAAUGCGAGGCAAAGGAUACUUGUUCUUAAUUGUUACUUUGUUCAAUUGCCUAUAAUCAAUGUACAUUCUUAUCGUGCCAUCCUUCUUCUUCACAAACAAAACCGGUGCACCCCAAGGUGACAUACUAGGCCAAAUGAACCCCUUAUCUAGGAGUUCCUGAAGCUAUUUUUUCAAUUCCUUCAACUCUGGUGGUGCCAUACGAUAUGGUAGAAUAGAAAUGGGCUGAGUGCCCGGCACCAGGUCAAUACCAAAAUAAAUGUCCCUAUCCGGUGGCAUGCCCGACAGGUCUGCAGGAAACACAUCGAGAAAAUCCCUUACAACUAGGACAAAAUCAAUACUAGGAGUCUCAGCUCCAACAUCCCCCACAAAUGCUAGAUAUGAAAUGCAACCCUUCCCAACCAUACACUGGGCCUUCAAGAAAGAAAUCACUCUACUAAGAACAUAAUCAGUCAUGCCAUGCCACUCGAUCCGCGGCACACCCGGCAUAGCCAAAGUGACGGUCUUAGCAUGAUAGUCUAGAAUAGCACGAUACGGAGAUAACCAAUCCAUGCCCAAAAUGACAUCAAAAUCCACCAUGCUCAAUAGCAAUAGAUCCACUCGGGUCUCCAGACCCCCAAUAGUCACCACACAUGACCGGUACACACGGUCUACAACAACAGUAUCGCCCACCGGGGUAGAUACAUAAACAGGUAAAAUAAAAAACUCACGGGGCGUACCCAAAUAACAAGCAAAGUAUGAUGACAUAUAGGAAAAGGUGGAACAAGGAUCAAAUAAUACAGAGGUAUCUCUGCGAUAGACUGAAACAAUACCUGUAAUGAUAGCAUCUGAAGCAAUAGUAUCUGGCCUACCUGGAAGUGCAUAGAAACGGGUCUGACCGCCCCCUGAUCGACCUCCCCCUCAGGGCGACCCCUGGCUGCCUGACCUCCACCCCUAGCUGGCUGGGCUGGUGGUGAAGUAACUGGAGAAGAAGUCGAGGGCUAACCCCUCUGUUGGGACAAACUAGCAACAUGACGAGGACACUGCCUCCACAUAUGCCCAAACUCUCCACACUCAAAACAACUCCCAGGUGCUAGAGAAGGGGACUGAAGGGAACCCCUUGCACUGGAGUGGCUAGUUGAUGCACUCAGCAUAGAAGAACCCUGAGCCGACGGGGCACGAGAUGAACUCUGAGCUAGGAGGGCAUUGAUUGAAGGCUGGCCCUGCUGAGACCCAUGAUAACCACGACCUGAAGAUGCCCCGCGAUACACUGGGCGGGCUGACUGAGCAAGCCUAAAAGAACGACCUCUACCAUGCUGGAACUGGCCCCUCGAAGGAGCACCACUGUAACUGCCAGAUCCUCGAGGCCUCUUGGCCUUCCUCUCCUCUCGAUCCUAACGGCGAACCGUCUCAAUCUCACGAGCGAUAUCAACCACCUCCUCGAACAUAGCACCUAACUGGCCUACGCCUCUCAUACGCCUCCCACCAAGUGAAGGCAGCCCCAGUAAACUGAAAGGUGGUAAAUGCCACACCACUAGUCUCAAGAAUCCCUGCUGUAUGGAGCAUCCGCUGACACUUAUCUAGAAAACCUUGGGUAUCCUCGCCCUCAGUACCACUGAAUGACGGAGGCUGGAGUCUACCAAACCUCUCAAGACGAUGCUGCUCAUCAUCCGGCAUAACUGGUACCAUGAACUCCUGAGCUGGUGCAACCGGCUGGGCUGGAGGUGCCUCCGGCAUCUGAAGUCCCUGCACUACCUGCUCAGGUGUGCGAGCAGCGGGGGUCUGAUUGCCUCCCCUGGCCUGUGAAGUAGUUGCUGCUGCUAUGGUGGCUGAAACUGCCUGAGCCAAGUCAGUGCAAACAGUUAAGAUCUAUGCCAAGGCCUUUUGUAGUCCCGGGAUCAAGAGAGGCACAACUGGUGCCUGAACUGGUGCUGCUUGAGCUUGAUCCGGAGCUGGGGUAGCUGGUGGAUCAACAGGUGCUGCCCUCGCUGCUCUUCCACGACCGCAUCCAUGGCCUAUAGUGGCCUCAGUAGGUGGCACUGGUGGUCGUACACCUCGUCCAAUAGCUUGCGUCCUCACCAUCUGUGAGAGAAUAGAAUAAUAGGAGUUUAGUUCUCGGAUCAACAAGAUCGCACAACAAGAAUUUCAAGAAUAUGAAGUUUUUCCUAAAAAGGUUCUACAGCCUCUCGAGGAUAAAUACAGACGUCUUUGUACCGAUCCAUGAGACUCUACUAAACCUGGUCAUGACUCAUGAGACCUAAGUAACCUAGGCUCUGAUACCAACUUGUCAUGACCCUAACCCCGAACCCGAUCGUGAUGGCACAUCUCGUGAAGACAAGGCCAGCCAGACCAAAACGGAACACCUCUUUUAAAUAGUUAAUUAUCAUAAACAGUAAUAAAACAUGAUAUAAUAUCCAUGAAUUGCAGAAUUUAACGAUAACAACAGUAGAAACCAUCCCGACAUAGCCCAAACUGGGGUGUCACAAGUCAUGAGCAACUAAGGAUCCCGAUACGAGUCUACUAAAUACAAUAUUUGGUACAGAAGUUCAAGGACAUGAAAAUAGUAAGAUAAGGGAGGCACGGGGGCUGCGAACGCCAACAGCUACCUCGUAGUCUCCGAAAACACUACUUGUACUGGGAGGAUCAGUACUCAGGAGUGGACUCUGCGAUGCCUGAAUCUGCACACACAGUGUAGGGAGUAAUGUGAGUACUCCGACUCAGUGAGUAAUAAUUAUAAAUAAUGGCUGAAGCAAGAAAACACGUAAAGGCACAAAACAAUUCUAUAUCAAGCAGUAAAAAUCACUUAAAGCAGUAGAUCAGUGAGGAAGUCAAAUGAAAUUCCUUUAAACCAAGUAAAACAGGUAAUUUAGCAGGUAAAUAACAAGUAGAAAUAUGCCCCUCGGGCACAGUAACAAUCUCUCAUAACAGUAUCAGCCUCUCGGGCUCACUAUCAGUACAGUAUCAGCCCUUCAGGCUCACUCUCAGAUCAUGAUGGGUAUCUGCGCUCAUUGUGGGUGUGCAAACUCCGAAGGUGCCCCUUACGACCCAAGCGCAAUAUCAAGCCACCUUGUGGCAUCAUCUCUCGGCACUCGCCUUCACAUCAGUCGGCACUCAGCCUCACAUCACUCAAGCCACCUCAUGGCAUAUAAAGGUAUCUCAGGCCCUCGACCUCAUAUUGCUCAGCAUAUCCUCACAUAUGGCCCUCGGCCUCACUCAGUCCAAAAAUCAUCACAAGCCCCUUGGGAAUUAGCAAAACAAUAGUUCUCAGCCCAAAACAUCUUUUAGAAAUAUCAUUUAAGUUUCAAAUAUGAGUAAAAGUGGCUGAGUUUGUAAAACAGUAAAUAUCAACAGGACUGAGUUCAAGUGAUAAAUCAAUACAGUGAGGAAUAGUGACAAAAAUCCCCGGAGGGUUCAAAUAGUUGGCACGAAGCCCAAAUAUGGCAAUCAGCCCAAACCAUGAUGAUAACAAACAAGUUUUAGUCAAAUACGCGGUAAAAUCAUCAGUCGGGAUGGACCAAGUCAAAAUUCCCAAUAGUAAACGACUCCACACUCAUCAUCAAGCCCGUGUCUCACCUCAAUAUAGCAAUACGAUGUGCAAAUCCGGGGUUUCAAACCCUCAGGACAUCAAUUACAAUCAUUACUCACCUCGAACCGGCGAAAUCUCUAGCUCGCGACGCCUUUGCCCCUCAAAUUGGCCUCCACGCGCAUCGAAUCUAUUCAAAAUCAGAACGAAUACAUCACAAUAUGUUAAGGGAACAAAGCCCAAGCGAAAACAAUCGAAAUAUAUCAAAAAUCCCGAAAUUAGCGAAACCCGAGCCCCGGGCCCACUUCUCAAAAGUCAGAAAUUUUCACAUCAUUAGAUUCCUUAUCACCCCACGAGUUCAUACAUAUCAAAAGUUCUCAAAUCCGACCUCAAAUGGUCCUUCAAAUCCCAAUUUAAAAGUUCAAAAUCUCAAGCCCUAGUUCUUCCAUAUUUAGCUUAAGUUCCAUGAAUUUCUAGGUUGAUUUCACAAUAGAAUCACAUUUUAGGUUCAAAAAUCUUACCUCCAAUCAAUUCUCCUCGAAUCCUUCUUUAAUCACCCUCAAAAAGCUCUCAAAAUGCUCAACUAUGGAGGAAAAAUGACUCAAAAUCGCGGAUGAAAUAACUUAUAAACUUUCUGCCCAGUUCUGAUAUUCCUUCUUCGCGAACACGGUCAACCUCUUGCGUUCGCGAAGCACAACUUUACGUUGACCAACUUUUCCUCUUCGCAAACGCAACUCACCCAUUGCGAACGCGAUGCUUCUUCCUCCUAUACCUUCGUGAACAUGAACCCCUUACGCGAACGCGAUGAAUAAAAAGACCUUGAUCUCAAAUUACACUACGCGAUCGUGAGUACACUCUCACGAUCGCGAUGCCCAACCUGCCAAACCUCCGCGAACGCGAAGAUCCACUUGCGAACGCGAAGGCUUAACCCUGUCCUUCCACAAUUCCUUCUUCGCGAACGCGAGGACCCCCUUGCGAAUGCGAAGAGAUAAAUCUCUGCAACACUGAACCUGCAUUUCUACAAUUUCCCAAACUCCAAAAUGGUCUGAUUGACCACCUGAAACUCACCCGAGGCCCCCGGGACCUCAACCAAAGGCACCAACACAUCCUAAAACCUCAUGCAAACUUGUUCCAAUCAUCAAAACACCUCAAACAACACCAAAUCCAUCAAUUCACACUGAAUUUAAGCCUAAGUUUUCUAAAAACUUCUAAAAUACGCUCUAGAUCAAAACCCCAACCAAACCACGUCCGAAUGACCUGAAAUUUUGUACACAUAUCACAAAUGACAUAACGAAGCUACAACAACUCUUGGAAUACCAUUCUAACCCUCGGAUCAAAAUCUCGCCUAUCAACCGGAAAUCGCCAAAAUACUAACUUCGCCAAUUCAAGCCUAAUUCUACACCGGACCUCCAAAACUAAUUCCGAUCACACUCCUAAGUUAUGAAUCACCUCCUGAAGCUAACCGAACCAUCAGAACUCACAUCCGAGCCCUCUAACAUAUAAGUCAAUACCCGGUUGACUUUUCCAACUUAAACCCUCUUAAAAGAAGCUAAGUGUCUCAUUUCUUACCAAAUCCACUCUGAACGCAAACUACCCAACUCGCUCACAUAAAACACGGAUAACGAAGCAUAAUGAAGCAGAAAUAGGGGAAACAUAGCGUUAAUUCAUGAGACGACUGGUCGGGUCGUCACAAUUCAAUUAAGACUAACCUUUGUAUAGUUAAAUCACUUGGCUUUAAUUAUAAAUCGAAGUUUCCUUUAUACUUUAUUUAGAAUCCAAUUCUUUCUGAACACCAAAAAGAUUUUUGUAUUAAUUUAAUUUGCAUAUCCUAUUGUAUAUAUUUUGCUACAAAUGGAGUAGUCUUGCUUUAAAUAUUUACUCACUAUAUGUGUAACGACCCGCGCAGUUGUUUUUAGUAUUUUCAGUCAAUUCGGUGCUUUAAGGUUAUGAGUAGGUUCACAUGGUGUAUUAUGACUUGCAUGUAUUGUCAAUUUUGGUCUUCGAGUUAUUCAAAAUUGAUUUGGAAGAAUGAUUCUUAAAUAGGAAGCUCUAAUUUGGAAGAGUUGAGCAAGUUUGACUCUUUUAUAUUUGACCACGAAUCAGAGUUUUGAUGGUUCCAUUAGGUCCGGAUGGUGAUUUGGACUUGGGCUUAUGCCCAAAUUUGCAUUUUGAUGUUUCUAUAAGGUUUCGACACUAUUUGGCAAAAGUUGGCAAUUUGAAGGUCUGAAAAGUUCAUAGGUUUGACCGGGAGUUACUUCGAUGUUAUCAGGUUUGAAUUAUUGUUCCGAGAGUUGUAAUAGUUUUGAUAUGUCAUUUGGAACUUGCUACAAAAUUUGGAUUCAUUCCAGAUUGGUUAGGCUUGAAUCAGAUGCUUAGUUCGAAGUUUGAAUUUUAUGAACUUAAGAGAUUUAUAUUGAUCGAUGGUUCGUGGUUUUGACAUUGUUAUGUAGGAUUUAAGGCUUCGAGAAGGUCCGUAUUAUGUUUUGGGACUUAUUGGUAUGUUCGGACGGGUCCGUCCGAGGGGCUCGGGUGAGUUUUGGAUAGGUUUGGGUUGUGUUGCACUCAUUUUGAUAUUUAGACGUCGUUUCUUCAAGCAUAAGAGGUACACAUUAAGCAAAUGAGCUCUAAAUUAUAUUUAUAUUGACGUAUUAGAUCUGUAUUGUAAUUAUUGAAGUCAUAGCAAAAAUAAUCAUCGAAAUUCAACAUCGUAUGAGGGAGUUAUGCUCAUUUUAGUGUCGGAGAAGAAAGCUGGUGCUGGUGCUUCGCAGAUGCGACGUUGGGUCCGCAUCUGUGACCCCACAGGUGUGUAAAAUGGUCUGCAAAAGCGAAAAUGACAGCUGGAAAACUGCAGGCGCAGAUUUUUGGGUGCAAAAGCAGAAAUCUUUGUGUAUAAAAAAAUCAUAUUGCGUUCUAUUAGUAUUUUGAGUAUGUCUUGAGUUCUAGAGCUCUGAUUGAGGUGAUUUUUACGGAUUUAUUCUCGUAUUUACAUGGGGCUCAGUAUAUUACUUGUAAUUUUAUAUUUUAACAUGAUUACAAUAGUUAAUUUGUGAAUAAAUUCAUGUUUUGAUUGAAAAAUUUGCGGUUUUUAUCAAAAACUUUUCUAUAGAGAAUAAUUGAAUUUUAAACAUCCAUUCGGCGUCGGAAUUAAAUGAAAUUAGUAUGGUUGGACUCGUAUUCGAAUGGGUUAUCACAAUUUUUAAGUUUUGUUGGGUUCCAAGUGCUGGCUCGGGUUGACCUUUUGGUUCACUUUGAGUUUUUGAAUAAAGAUUCGACCCUUUAUUGCUUGGGUUUAUUUCCUAAGGCAUUAUUUGAUGUUUUUAAGUUGCUUUUGUCUAGUUUCAAGCCGUUCGGAGGUUUAUUUGCGGGAUGGUAUUUCUAGAGUAUUGUUUGGCUUGCUCUUAUUUGAUUUGGCUUGUUCGAGGUAAGUAACAUAUCUAAACUUGGAUUUUAGGUUAAAUAUCCUUGGGAACUAUGAUAUUUAAGAUGGGUUAGGGGUGACGCACAUGCUAGGUGACAGGUGUGGGAGAAUGCACCGAGGUAUUCAUGAUCGAGUUAGUUUUUAGGUUAUUAUAUGCCUUGUUUUCCUAUCAUACUUCUUUGCUAUCAUGUUUUCUCCAUUUAUAUUACUAUGUGGGAUAUUAUUCAUGCUAGAAAUCAUGCCUAGAGUGCCUGCUCAAUUGUUUGAGAAAUGAUAGGGUUGUUUUUGCCAUGUUGAGCUAUUUGCCUUAGCCAUAGUCACAUUGUACAGUCAUGAUAGUCACAUCCACAUGUUAUAUCUCUAUCUCUGUGCUCUUUUGAUAUCAUGUCGCACAUGUUAUUGGUAUCCUAGUAUGUGACACGAGUUUGAACUGUAUUGAGGCAUAUUGUGAUAUUUCAUGUUAUAUUGUUGAAUUGUGUUUCUGUGAUGAUGUCUGCAUAUUGAGACUUGAGCAGAUUGAUGACUGAUGUGGGCCAUAUAAUCAUAUUGAUAUGGAUAUAUGGAUUGGGUAUCACACUGCAAUGGUUAUAUUGAUAUUGAGGUGACGCAUAUGUUAGGCCCCACAUUGGGCUAAGUUGCACUGAUUUGAUGUCGCGCGUGCACCAGGCCCCACUAUUUGGGCUUUGUGAUUAUGAUUAGCGCUUGGGUAGGAUCCUCCCCUUCGGAGCUUGACAUGCCAGCAGUAGGUCAUGCAUAAUGUUAUAUACACUUGCUCGAUGAUGGCCAGUUAUGUCAAGCACACAUACAAUGCUGAGUGUGAUUAUUUGAUGGAUCCACAUUGAUACUAUUGAUUUGAUAUAUAUUUAUUGUGUGUGAUCAAGUGAUCCAUUUGAGCCAGGCACUUGAAGUGUGCUAAGAUUAUGUGAACUUAAUGAUUUCACUGUGAGACUGAUUACUUUGACAAGUAUAUUUGACAUAUAGGAUAGAGAUGUACCUUACUCAUGCUAGGCAGUGGUAUGACAUUUGAUUACUUGACAUGAAUAUUUGACAUGUAGGCAUAGAGAUGUACCUUCCUCAUGCUAGGCAUUGAUAUGACAUUUGAUAACUUGACAUGCAUAUUUGACAUGAAGACAUAGAGAUGCAUUUUCCUCAUGCUAACUAGUAAAUGUAAAGUCUUAUCUGAUACUGUAAUUGGGGAAAAACAUAGUUCUUUUGAUAAAACUCAUGUUUAAUUUAUUUCGGUGGUAAGCUUUACACUUGGACUGUUAUACUUGAAAAACAUGUCUACUUUCCCCUAUCUAUGAACGAGCUGAGCAUUACAUUUCUUGAUUUGUAUUCCUUUAUUGUCUUCACUAUACUGUUAUGAAUUGUUAUUGUCUAUUGAUGAUGGACACUGACCUUCUUCCGAGCUCGUCACUACUUUCAACCUGAGGUUAAGUUUGUUACUUAUUGAGUACAUGGGGUUGGUUGUAAUCAAACUACACUUCUGCAACUUGCGCGCAGAUCUUGGAGUUGAUGUUGCUGUGUUUGGCAGGAGCUGGCAUAGAAGAUGUACCUGCACUCCGGUGAUAGCUGCAACUUGUCCUUGGUAGCUUUAGAUUUUUGAAAUUUUAUUUAUGUAUAUUUUGAAUAGAUGGUGUAUUUAUUUUGUACCAACUUUGUAAAUUCCAUGUCUUAGAAGCUCAUGAAUUAUACUACCAAUGCUUGGGAGUUUGAAUAGAAACCCAAUUUUGUUACUCUUUUGCUCAUAUUAUUAUCAUAUGAGUUGUGUUGAAUGUUACUUGGCUUAUCUAGCGGGUUGGGUUAGGUGUCAUCAUGACUAGUUGGAUUUUAGAUCGUGACAAGUUGGUAUCAUAGCUCUAUGUUCAUAGGUUCUACGAGUUAUGAGAAAAUGUCUAGUAGAGUCUUGCGGAUUUGUAUGAUAACAUCCAUACCUAUCUUCGAGAGGCUACAUGGCAUGUAGAAAAAUUUCCCAUCUAUCUUUCUUUAUCGCCCGGCAUUGAUUCAGCUUGAAGCGUAUUUCUUUGAACUCCUUCUACUAACACGUACAUGAUGUUGAGCACUCAAUAUCAGUUGUGCACUAAUAGCCUGUGAUGUCGUAGGUGAGGUACAAGAUGUGUUAUUUGUGUUGUGGUGUUAGGACAGUCUGGAGUACUUGAGUCCAAGUUCAGACCGUAGCUUGGACUCAAUGGUUCCAAUUGUGUGAGUAUGUGCUUUUGGACUAAUAUGCCCGGUAGUAUCCCUAAGGGUGGGAUUGAUGGCUUGGUGAGUGGUUGGAUAGCUAUAUGAUGAGCAUGGUGUAACUGCAAGAUGUGUUCAGAUGGCUUCGAUACAAUGAGAAGAGUUUUCUUGAGAUGUAAGUAGAACUAUUAGGUGCUUGAUUUCUGUCUUGAUAUGUUGUACAGUCUCAAGUUAUGAGUGUGUAGAGGGAUCUAUCAUGUUGUUCAUGUGUGGGAUAAAUUAGACUCUUAUGUCUUGUUGGCGAGUUUAGACUCGAGAAUUAAGUGAUCGCAUAGUGAUUGUGACCAUGAUGGGGUCAUAGAAGGGUGCCAGUUCGGGCUAAGUAGGUGGGUUAUCACCUGCGGAAUGUUCUGAGGUUGUGUGAUCCCUAUGAUGUAUCUGUGGAGAGUUUUUCUUCUACCUAUGAGUUAUAUGUGUUGCAAUUGAUUUUGGAUCACUUGAGUAGGUUGGCUCGAAUAUCACAUGAAUGAAUGUGCAUUUAGCAGAAAAUUUGAGGUAUUUUAUGAUUUGUACUACAUGAGUUCAUGAAAGGGUUUUGUUGAAUUGCAGUGCAGGAUUAUGUAGUAAUAUAGUAAGGGUAUUGUGGGUUAUUAGAUGUUGUGAUCUAUGGCUUUGAUCCAAGUGAGGAAGGACACUAUUGACGAUAAGAUUGCAUAGUCAUGUGUUACGUUAGUUUUAGUCUGAGGCAUACAUGUAGAUCGGUUAUGACUUCAAGAGGUUGAUUUCGAGAAUGACUCGAGUAAGGAAGUUUCUUUGCAUAAUGUAUUACACUUUAUAGAUACAAAAAUCUUGGAAUAAUUUGGGUAUUUUAUUCUUGAUGAAUGUAAUGUGCUAAGAAAAGGGAGUCACUCGGUUGCGUUAAAGUGUGGUUACUUCUUUAGGGUUUUUGGGUUACUAAUGGAGCACGGGUCUUUGGCUCGUUUGGGUGGUGCAUUUGAGAUUAGAAUAGGGUGGAUGACUCUCGAUAAAGUUCUAAUGGGUUAAAGAUUCAUAUGUUUCAUUUGAGGAAUUUCUGGAUGUGUAAAUUGCAAAGAUUUGAGAUUUACAUUGGAUAGUACCGAGACCCACGAUAUUUUUGUAUCAUUAUAGAUUCUACAUUUCAGUAUCAUAGAGGUUAAAAAAAUAGUGUCAGAUUCACAUAAGGUUUCUUCAGAGUGGGUAUCUCGGAUGCCAUAUUUUUGGGUAGCUAAGAGGGUAUACAGUGGCUUAUGGGCUUUAGGAUGAUGAGGUUUCGUGCUAUGAUCUCUUGUAGUGAGCUUUGGGUUAAGGAUCAUAGUGAACUAGCAAUAAAAAGUGUUUACUUGAAGGCAAUUCGGAAGGAACUCAGAGAAAUAGGACAUCUUGGUGGUAUAUUAAAUCAACAUGGUAACGGAUAUGAUAUGUUCUUUUGGUUCUUAUGAUGUGGUGAGAUCUUUUUGCGGCAAUACUCUUGGGUUUGGCGACUGAUGGAAUAUGUAUUUUGCUGGUGCUUUUGAGACAAUAAUGGGAUUCUUGUGUUUUCAUAUGAUGGCAUGAUAAAUGAGGUGCAAUGUAUGGGAUUGAGAUUUACAUGUACAAGGUUGCGGUUCCAUUUCAAAGGGAAGGUCGUGAUUUUUCCACAACAUAGACGGUUUCAGAUGUUUAGAAAAUGUUGGUACUAUUUUGUAUCACCUGAGAUGAGUGUGCAUUUCAGAAAGGCGUAUUGUGUUUUACUUGCAGAUACUUGAUUGGAACUAUGGUAAUUGCCUAGUUGAUCGACUGUGAUGUUUAUAUUUUGUUAUGUAGCAUAGAAGAAUUAUGGAAAUAUUUAUCGUGAGAUAAUUUUACAUGAGAGAUGUGUCAGUCAUUUGGGUGGUCGAUUCGGGAUUAAAUAGAGAGAUUUUUGUAUUCUUGUGAUUUGGAGAAUGGUAGUCUCAAAGGUGGACUAUUCCUUGGUUGUAGACUGUGAAAAUAUGGCCAGUGUUAGAAAGCUGAUGGUAUGUGCUAUGGAUAUGUUUCAGUAUAUCUUUGGGAUGGUUGUCUACUCAUUUCGGGAGGACCGGGAUCGAUUUGGAGGACACUGGAAAACCUAUUGAGCAUGUGUAUUCAACAUUGGGUCGGAUUUAUUUGCUUAGCACAACUACUUUUGAAGGGUGUGUCAUUGGUUAUAGUUUAUCUUAUUCGCAUCUGAUUUGUUCCAUGAGUUACUCUUCUAUGCUACGACGGGUUGUUAGACUGUUGACUAUGUACACAUGAUACAAUUUUGUUUGGGCCUAGUAGUGGAUUCGAGCGAGAUGGAUUUGGGGUUGUUGAAUGGUUGAUUGCACCUUGGUUAUGGUUUUUUUUGUUUGUGGUAUAUUGUUCGAUAUGUUUCUCCAUGGUUAUGAUCAUGCACAUUGCGUAGUUGUUGUUGAUAUGCAUAUGGUUGUUGAUUAUGAGCAUCAUGGUUUGAGGUAUUUCAUAUGGACCGGUGUUUUGACUAGGUCACUCGUCGCUGUAGAGUUAUGUAGGGAUAUGAUCCUUUGUGUUUAUCUUGUAUGGUUUUGUUCUUCUUUGUGUGAUGGUUUAAUAGCAGUGCGCUUGUGGUGGUAUUUGUUGAGCUUGCAAAAUGGUUCUCUCAUUUGAUUCUCUUUCUAUUUGUAGGUACAUUUAGGUUGUUGCAUGUUUGGUGCACGGAUUGCACUGUAUAUAGCUAUAAAUGGUAUUGGUGUGGCAUGUCGGUUGAACAACUUGUACUAGAUGAGAUGAGGUUAUUGUACCUAGAAUGAGCGCUAUUGGAUUUGAUUAAGUUAUGUUUGGAAGAAUAACUUCUCUAGUCAGCUUAGAAUUUGGAAAUGAUUCUUAAUGGGUGAGAAAGCUCCACCACUUGCUGAUAUGAUGAGUGGUUAUGACUUUAUGCGUGUUUCUUUCAUUAUUGGCUAUGUAUGAAGGUAUAUAACAAGGUAACAAGGUUUUGUUUGAUAUGAGGUUUGAUACCGGUACUAGGUUUGUUAUUGAGCAGUUAUUCUGGUCGGAAGUUAUUGUUGCGAGAAUCUGGGUUAUAUGGUAUAUCAUGUGAUUACAUGUUGGGGUAUGGUUAUGGCUUGAUUAUGCUUAUUCAGACUUAUAUAGUAUAAAGAUGCGAGAAUUAGGUCUUAUAAUGAAUUUCAGAUGUUGCGGUUGGGGUUGGGGUUUUAAGUUUUAUCGACUAAGAUUGAAGUAAGGAUCUUCAGUUAGGUUCUGUUGUCAGGCUUAUAAGGAUUGGGGUAACGUAGAAUCACCCAUGGGUAUUUGUAUGGUGAGGUUAUACAGUGAUUCGAUGGCUUUGGAACGGCUUUUGGCAUGUUUGAGGAUGAACAUACGUUUAAGUGGGGGAGAAUGUAAUGACCCGCCUGAUCAUUUUGAGAACUUGCACUCAGUUCAGUGGUUUGAGGUUAUUAUGAGUAGCUUCAUAUGGUGUAUUAUGAAUUGCGUGUAUCAUUGGUUUUGGUCUUCGAGUUUUUCGAAAUUGAUUUGGAAGAAUGAUUCUUAAAUAGGAAGCUUUAAGUUGGAAGAGUUGACUACGAGCACCUAAUUUUUACUCUACAUGAAAAUAACUCCUAAAAAUACACCAAAAAUGAUUUUUAAAGGANNNNNNNNNNNNNNNNNNNNNNNNNNNNNNNNNNNNNNNNNNNNNNNNNNNNNNNNNNNNNNNNNNNNNNNNNNNNNNNNNNNNNNNNNNNNNNNNNNNNNNNNNNNNNNNNNNNNNNNNNNNNNNNNNNNNNNNNNNNNNNNNNNNNNNNNNNNNNNNNNNNNNNNNNNNNNNNNNNNNNNNNNNNNNNNNNNNNNNNNNNNNNNNNNNNNNNNNNNNNNNNNNNNNNNNNNNNNNNNNNNNNNNNNNNNNNNNNNNNNNNNNNNNNNNNNNNNNNNNNNNNNNNNNNNNNNNNNNNNNNNNNNNNNNNNNNNNNNNNNNNNNNNNNNNNNNNNNNNNNNNNNNNNNNNNNNNNNNNNNNNNNNNNNNNNNNNNNNNNNNNNNNNNNNNNNNNNNNNNNNNNNNNNNNNNNNNNNNNNNNNNNNNNNNNNNNNNNNNNNNNNNNNNNNNNNNNNNNNNNNNNNNNNNNNNNNNNNNNNNNNNNNNNNNNNNNNNNNGCCCAAAACAUUGAGCCCAUACUCAUUCCCCAUUUGACUUAACCUAAUUCCUACCCCUAUAAAAUAACACUUAACUUCUAAAAUCAAAGGAUUCCAAAAAC
RNAcentral lists this long non-coding RNA (57698 nucleotides) under Nicotiana tabacum (common tobacco). Its description in RNAcentral is "long non-coding RNA (NTAB_LNC000106)". Lineage: Eukaryota; Viridiplantae; Streptophyta; Magnoliopsida; Solanales; Solanaceae. The record is from RNAcentral.